UAAUGAAAAUGCAUCUCUUGAUGAAAUGCUUCGAUAAAUAUUAUUUUAUCAUGUUUGGUUUUGGGAACAAAUUCCGCAACACUUUUAAAUCAAAAGGAUUUACUCUGAAAUUAUUUUAAAAAGCAUAAAUGAAAUCAGUCUUUUCUGACCGUGAUUUUGGGGAUGUCACAGAUGAUAACCACGGACUAUUCUAGACAGUCAGUAGAACACUAGCAGGCUCGCGACUUCUAGGUGUUUGUGAACGAUGUGUUCAUCGGUGUACUCUAAAACCCAUUGACAUGUAUUGCGAGAGGGAUCUCGAGAAUGAUACUGUCAAUAAACAAGAUAAACUUGUUAUUAAAUUCGGGAGUAUGGAUCAGAUCAAGAUUUAGGUAUAGUAAAUUGUCCUUAGUCCGGGAGUAUGGAUUGGGCGUAGUUUUAGAUCCGAGAGUAUGGAUCAGACCAAGAGGUUAGUUUUAGAUCUGAGAAUAUGGAUCAGGUGAAGAGAUUAGUUUUAGAUCCAUGAGUAGGGAUCAAGUAAAGAGGAAAGUUUUAGAUACGAGAGUUUAGAUCAUUUCGUUGUGAGGAUCGAUGGGGUAGGAUAAGAGUUGUUUUUAUAUGGUGAAAUUAUAUAAGUUUGUAAGUUCUAUGUGUGUGUGUGUGUGUAUAUAUAUAUAUAUAUAUAUAUAUAUAACAUUGUGGGUUGAAAACCCUAUAUGCUCACCAGGCUCCCAAGCCUGACCCACUCAGUUUUCUUUGUAUUACAGGUUAUGGCACAAGAGCAUAAGUUGGCUGACAUAACGAGAGAUUUUGGAUUAUAGGUGUAAUGACCCAAAUUUCACGUCCAAAAUUUUCAUUUUUAAUCAAUACUUUGGAAAACAUUUGUAAAUAAAACAUUGUCUUAUCAAAUCAUUUCAUAUUCAUACAUCGUGUUUGAAAACCAAAUUACGAAUUCAACCAAAUGUCAGAGUACAAAUCCCAGAACAAUCUCGUAAGGCGGAAAAUAGUGUGUGUGUGUGUGUGUGUAUGAUGUGCCACUACUGCGCCAGCUCCUUCCCCUUUGAUGAAGAGGUAUCUGAAACCAAAACUAAAAACUGUAAGCACGAAACUUAGUGAGUUCCCCCAUCGUACCACAUACCAUACAAUCACACAACAUACAUAUAUUGUCAGGCAUAUCUGGGUGCCCGACCUACCCCUUCGGUCCUCUCGACCAGAUACUGGCUAACAUAUCUGGGUGCUGGCCUCACCUUUGGUCAUGUCGACCGGAUACUGACUAGCAUAUAUGGGUGCUGGUCUCCCCUUCGGUCCUCUCGACCGGAUACCGGGGACUAUUUCACCCCCUUACUACUACCACAUAACACAUAUCACAUAAUCUAUCUAGCAUGGCUGGGCAUGACCGCCCCUUCGGCCCUAUCGACCGGUAAUCUAGGGACUAUCUCCCCUAUUGUCACUAGCACAUAGCAUCAUAUCAUACUAGCACAUAAACAUAUUGAUAGUAGCAAACCUAGAUGAAUAUCACAUAGACAAUCAUCUAAUCGUACAACUCCUACUGACGGGCCGGCAUUGUAACCGUAGACCCACCGCUACUGGAAGGUAACUCACCUCGAAGUAGUUGUUGAUCUGUGCGGGAACUGACUAUCUGUUGCUGCUGCUCCGGAAAUCCUCCAGUUGUAACUCCCACAAAACACUCAAUCAAACACUGCUAACUGUCCUUAGGGUAAAAUGACCAUCUUACCCCCGACCAAGUCAAAGUCAAAGUCAACUACCAGUUGAACUGACUCGUCGAGUUGGCUCGCCAACUCGUCGAGGCCCUAUCCAUUCGAUUGANUAUGCCCAUCUCUACUCGUCGAGUUAGGCGAUGACUCGACGAGUUUUCCUUCCAAAUGAACAUCGACUGAAUCUUCAUCCGACUCGCCGAGUUGUAUGAACAACUCGUUGAGUUCAUUUUCAACUGAUAAACAGGUCCUGUCCUUGACUCGCCGAGUUGUAUGAACAAAUCGUCAAGUUCAUCUUCAUCCAUAUGAAGAUUGCCUUGGACUCGCCGAGUCUGCUCAUGCAGUCGCCGAGUCCCAUGAAUAUCCCGAACAAUGGCUUAGUCCAAAUCAUUGGGUCACUCCCCGGGACUCCCUAAAACCUUUCCACACUCAACUGGGUCAUUUUGACCCUCAACUGAUUUGGGGACUCAAUCUUGGACUCACCGAGUCCAAUGAUAGACUCGCCGAGUCUGUCGCAUAUUCACACUAGAUCUUCGAUUUCUGAUGUACAACUCUUGAUCAAAGGAUAGAUCUAUGCUCCUAGGACCGUUCUAGCACGUAAAGUUACAACCUUUACGUGCUUGCAUGGGACUUUAAGCUCAAAAGGUCCUAAAACAAGCCCUUGAGUUACAUGGAGCCUUUCUUGGGUGGAAAAGCACCCCCUUUCUGUUUAGUGACCCCUCAAGGGUCCUAGAUUCGUACCCUCAUCCCCAACCAUGCUUACAUUCAUGGUUGGCUAGCUAAAAUGGCUCAUAAAUCCCUAAAACUACACAAAAUGGGAUCUAACAUUUGGAAGAAGAAGGUACAGACUUUUUACCUUGAAUGAGCUGCAAAUGAUGCACAAAUUCGGAUCCCCUUUAGUCCCUUCUUGCUCCUUCAAGCUUCUCUUCCUUCCUUGGAUCACAAGAACACCAAACUCACUUCAAAUGCUCUAUUUUGCUUCAACAACGACUAGGGUUUGCUAUGGGGGUCCUCUGGGAGUAAAUGGGAUGAAGGAGGUCAGGUUAAAGUGUUUAAAUAGGGUGCAAACCCUCGGAUUAGGGUUUUUGUCCAGACAAGGUCUACUCGCCGAGUCCACAGCUUAGACCCUGCGUCUUAUCCCGCUUCUACUCGGCGAUUUGGUCCUUCAACUCGCCGAGUCCAAGGCCAAAAAUUCAAAUAUAUAUAAAGAGUUAAUUACAAGAAUACGUACCAAGAACCAUAUGCUACCAUAGGCCAGUAGUUAUGAAUAACUGUUGUAAGGUCUAUUUGUUCUGUUUAUGUUUUUGGUCUGUAUUGAACAUGACAUCCCGAGAUUUUGUUAUAUAAUGAAAAUACAUUUUAUAAAGAAAUGCUUUGAUAAAUUCUUAUCAUAUUUUGUUUUGGGAACAAAUUCCGCAACAGAUUUCUUUAAAAGAUUACUCUGAUUUUAAAAACAAAGCAUAAACAAAUCGGUCUUUUCUGGCCGUGAAAUUGGGGAUGUCACAAGGACUCCCAAGUUAAUUACAUCCCAUAUAACCAAGUUCAUACCCUUUAAUCUCUCAUGCAAUAACCAAUCUUCUCUCUCCCCCUCUCUUCUUCCAGUCUCGGCCGAAACCACCACCUCCCCACCAUCACUUUUUCUCUCUAACUCACCCAAUAAAUUCUCUCUAGGGCUCUCAAGAAAAAUCUCACUUCCCUCUCCAAGUUAGUGUGUGUGCCUGUGUAGUGUUCAAGAACUUUUCAUCAAAGCUCAUCAUUUUGGUAAGUUUUGUUUGACUCCAUAGUUUUAACUUCAAUUUUACACCAAAAACUUCUUCUUAACCCACCUCAUUUCAUGGUCUAUGUUCUUACAACAACUUAAAGCUCGAAAAUCAUCUCAAGAACACAUCUAGGGCCGAGAUCUCUUCAUUUCUUCAUCAAAAACAGAAAUCUUCAAACAAAGGUGAGUUCAUACCCUUUAUUUUCGGUUUUUACUUUGUUUUGAGGGAGAAUACUAAUGGGUUUUAGGUAAAACAAAUAACCUAGAAAACAAUUCCUAAGUUCACAUGCAACCUACUUUGGAUCUAUGUUUUAACUAUUGAACAUACAACUUUGAAUUGCAAAACAAGAACCCUAGAGGAGGUCACUAUUUUCGAAAAUAAUAAACUAGGGUUAGGAGUUAUAUACCUUUCAAUUGUUAUAGCAAACAAUUGACAAUUCCCUUGAUCUUGAUCUUGAUCUUCUUGUAAGCUUAGCACCACAAGUGUAAUGCCUCUAAUGGAAUCACACCCAAACUAGCAAGAAGGAAAGUAGAAGAGAGAGGGGAGAGGGAGUAUGCAAGAUCUUGGCCUUAGGUUUUCUUCAAAAGAAAGAGUGACCAAAAUAUGAACCAGGAGGCUCCUUAUAUAGCUGAGGGAUCUAGGGUUUAGGGGGAACCCUAGUUAUCCUUUGCUUAGGGCCUAAGCAAGCCAAAGGGCCUUAUCCAAGCCCCUAUGGACGAAAUCAUUAGGGUUUCCCCUAUAGAUUUCGUCCACCCUCUUCCAAGGGGGUUCUAGAGCCUUCCACUCAAUUAUUAGAUAAUUGCAAACUAGUCCCUGCACCUUACAAUUAAUACUUUUAACCCCAAAAUUAAUUCUGAUUAAUUUAUGGCUAACUAUUAAUUAAACUUAAUGAUUUCUAAUUAAUAUAUUAAUCUUUUAACAUAUUAAUAAAUUCAUUUAUAUUAAUUUAUUAAUCUUAUAAUAAAUUAAUAUCUCUCCUUUCAUAAUUUCCUUUUUGGUUGCUAGGUUUGAGGGCAACCCAAAAGGACUGUGCUGCUAUCAAUUCAAGCACAUAUCAAUUAUAGUUAUGGGCUUAGACACCUAAUCCAACAAAUACAAGUUGUUUUGUGUAGAUCUAUGUGUGUAUGCAUGAUUUUGUGUGUUUUCUUUAGUUACAUGUGUGUUUAUGUGUUGUAACUUCAUAAAGUUAAACAUCUACUAAAAGAUGAUGAUAUUGGUAUAACAUAAUACUUAUUUCAACAUAUCACACAAGAAAAAGGAUUAAAACACUCUUGUGAUACUUAAAUCUAAGAAAAACUUCAUGAAAGGGGCUAAAAUCAACAAAAUAACAAAGUUUGGGCUAAUUAUGUAACUUAUGGCUAGUAUGGGGUUCAAAAGGAAAUUUUAUUAAAACAAUGGCUAAACUCGACAUUUGAGACCUUAUAGGGAUCAAAAAUGUAAAUAUUUUCAUAAAUGGGCCUUAUUGGGCUUCUCACGGUUUUGGGACAAAAAAUUGUAAUUUUUGACUUUUUUGGGUUUAAUUGUCAUUUUCAAUAAAGUUGUGUCAAAAAUAUAAGUUUUUGAUAAAAAGGGGUUAAAUUUGCGAAAAUUAUGAACAUUUGGGUAAAAAGAUGAAAUUUUCUAUAAAUGGGCCGAAAAUGUAUAUUUUCACAAAAACCAAGCCAAAAAUGAUAUUUUUGACAAGAAUGAGUUAAAAAUGUUAUUUUUAUAAAUACUAGCCUUAAAUACAAGUUGUGUCCAAAAGAUGGCCUAAAAUGUUAGUUUUACUAAACUUGGGCCUUAAUUGUAAAUUUUUGGCUUAAUGGGCCAAGAAUGUCAAUUUUUAUAAAAGUGGGCUUUUUAUGCCGUUUUAGUAAAUAAUUGAGCCACUACUAGCAAAAUAAUAACAAAUGGGCUAAUUUUGAUGAUCUCAAGUUAUUGGGCCUUAGUGGCCCAUUUAUAUGUUUGAUAGGUCUUGAAUAUUAUUUAUAUGUUUAUUGGGUCUCAUUGACCCACUAAUAUGCACGACGGACCUUGGAUACUAUUUACAUGCUAUUUGGGCCCGUAAAUACCUUACAUGUGAAAUGGGCAUCGGUUGUCCUUUUACAUAUAUUUUGGGCCCAUGUUAUAUAAUCGUGUUCCUUUCGGGCCUGGAAAUGACUUAUAUGUUUAGCGAGCCUCCGUGGUUCGUUUACAUGGUUUAAUGAGCCAAGAAUGAGUUUUAUAUGUUUCUUUUCAUGUAAAUUCGAUUAAGGAUCUAGUGAGACAUGUCCGUUGACACCUAUUGAGUGUACGAUCGUAGCCUGUAGUUAUAACCAGAGUCUCUUGGAAUGAGAGCGGAGGGUUUGUGUAUAGAUCUAUACGGGGAUGACACCCCACACCUGAGUUGUUCGCUACAGUUAGACUACACCAGUCUAGGAUGACGAAAACCUUAUUCUAUUUUCCAUCGGCAUUUAACGACGCCAAGACAUGCGAAAUUGUCAUUAAUUAGUAUGGUUAUAACGACUCACUUAGAGGAAUUAAUGUUAUGAAAUUUAUGGAAGACCAUUCUUUUUUCUCUGUGGAUUACUUAAGAACAUACUCACACUGGUACUCGACCUCGGGGGUUGAUGUACCGACAUUCUAUUUUACAGGCAACAUAGGGUUGUCUGGGGACAUUCUCUUUACAAUCUCUUCAUUUACUUUUGGAAUUCUUUCAAACAAAACACACAUGCAUUAAUACAGGAUCGGACACAAACAUACUAAACUAUUUUAAUAAAAUACAGGAUUUUCUUGUGAUUACAAAGCUAUACAAAUCAUUUUCUCAAACAUACUUAUGAACUCACCAACAUUUUUAUGUUGACCUUUUUAAAUUGACUUGUAUUCUCAGGAAACCGUUGAAACAGGUUGGGCUGAAUAUUCUAACGGAUGUUUUGCUAUAUUUUGUUUCAUCACACUUUAAUCAUUUUGGCAUGUAAUAUUCAAACACAAUACUUAAUGCAAACAAUGUAUGUUGUAUUAUUACAUGUGUGAUGAUGAUGAUGUUAUGUUUCAUUUAUAUACUAUAUGAUGAUACUACAAGGAUGAAGUCACGCGCAAUCCCCCGGACGUUUCCACCAUCUGGUUCGAGGGUGUGACAAAUAAUCUUUUCCUUCUUCAACACAUAAACAAAUAUACACACUCAAACAUUGUUGAUUUCGUAAGUAUGUGAGGAAGGGAGACAAAUCGAGAUUCAAGAUCAACAAUAUAGAUGUUUUUUGUUGAUGAUUUGUUAUCAUUACGAAGUUUGUUUAAGUUUAUAUUUCUAACGAACAAUUCACUGGUGGUUUGAUUUUAAUUAAAAUGUCAAUUUGAUUUGGUGGCAAAAUGAAAUGAAAGAUUGAAGAUCUCUUGUUUUUGUAUGAUUCUUUAUCAGAAGUGGAUAUGCAACUUUGAAUAUUUAUAACGAUUAUUUUAUCAACAAGUUUUAUCAAAUAUUGAUUUGUAUUUUGAUCAAGUUUAUCGAUCAAAUGAAUAAGUCACCAUGAAGCUGAAUCGAAAGUGUGUAUGUGUGAGAGUAUGUGUUUAUUGUGGUGGCCAGAGAGAGAUGCAUGGGUCAAUUAUUAUUUUUUUAAUUAAUUAAAGAUUAAAAAAAUAUGAAAAAUACAAAAAAGAAAUUAAAAUGGCAAAAUGGCCAUUUCAAGUAUUUUUAGACCUAAACCACAAGAAAUUCUUGAUUUUGAACCUAUCCAAAGUUUUUUACAUACCACACAGUUAUAUCUCUAUUUUACUUUCAUACCUAAUUCAUAUAGACAUAUACAUAUACAUUAUUUUAGUUUUAUGCAACGGCUUACCAAAUAUUUGGCAUGUUUGUUAUUCCACCAUACAAACAAACGUAUUAAAACUCAAAUUUUUGUAAUUGAAAACGAAAUAAAACCACAACAAACAAAACCUUUAUUUUUGGAAAUAUAAUAAUGGCAUGUUGGAUUAUUAAAAUUUCUUUUAAGUUUAGACAAGGACAUGAGCUUUUUAUACAUAUAUCAAUAAUAGUAAAACCGAAUAUUUAGUAAACACACAACUUACCGUACAAAACAAGCAUUUCAAACAAAGUAGUAUCCGUGACUAAGAUGAUAUCUUCAAUCACCCAUACACAUAUACAUAUGCAUAUACGUAUGUAAACAUAACAUGUAUAUAUACCAAAAGGGGUUAUGUCUAAAAUACCCCUCCAAAGUCCAAAUCAUACCAUUCUAGCAAGGACUUUAAGGAUAUCCUCCACAGAUGUGAUUGCAUAAAGUUGGAUGAUUGGGACUCUUUGGACCUCUCAAGGUCUAGAUCUAAGGUUUAUUCCUCAAUGGGACUUCACAUGCUCCAUAUUCCAACUAAAGAAAGGGGGUAAAGAAACCCUAGAUUCAUGAGAUCUACUAUAUACACGAAAAUAGGCAUGGAUUCAUACAUCAAACAGCAACCUUUGAUGAAGUGAUAGUAGAUCUGAGCUCCUUAAUCAGCCUAGCUUGAAUCCCCUCCUUCCUUCUUGCAAGAAUGCACUAAUGGUGAUGAAAUUAGCUCCUUCCCUCACUCUCUAUGCUCUCUGGUUCGUUAGGGUUUCUCAGGUGUGUGUGUGGCCGCAAAUGAAGGCCAUAAGGACCCUUAAAUAGGGCGCAGGCCCAAAGAUUUAUGGUUUUUGUCCACAGCGCGGACUCGUCGACUCGACUUGCCGACUCGUUGAGUCCACUCAUUAAUCCGAGUCAUCAGUCGCAAUCCUACUCGACAAGUUUAGGCGUCAACUUGUCUAGUCCUUCUUCUUAACUCAAAAAUAAAUACUUAAAUUAUGAUAUCUGGAAAUCUGGAUGUUACAUCAAAAUUACUAGGUUUUUAACUGUGAGUAUUAUUUUCCACAAUAAAAUGCUUUAAUUCAAAUCCUUAUUAUGAUAAAGUUUCAACUAGUAAAAUAUCAAUCCUCAAUGGUAGUCUCAGGUUCGAACUUUCAGUUUCCUUACUUCAUACAUCAUGUCAAUCUUCAUUUUUAAACGAUAAUUUAGUCAUAAACUACACAUUUACUUUAAAGGUUAAUGACUUAAAAGGGUAACAUAAUUUGUUUUGUGUUCAUAUUUAAUUAGCAAUGUUUUUAUACAUAUUCGACCAUUGAACAACGAUUACCCCAACUUAACUCAGAAUGUUUACCAUUGAACAGUGACCGCACCAACUUUAAUCAUAAAUCAAACUUAAAAUGGUUACAUAUUUUGUUUCGUGUUCACAUUUAACCAACGAUAUUUUUUGUACACAUUUGUUAUAGGUAAUAUUACCUUUUUUGAAAAUGUGAAACAAGUUCAAUUGUCAAAUGUAUAUAAAAAAAAAUAUUGUUUACUAAAUGUGAACACGAACAAAAUAUGUUAUCAUUUUUAGUCAUUAACACUUAUUUCAAAAGAGACUUGAACCCUUAAAUAUUAUAUUUGAUGAUACAUUUAAUACCCGUUUUUUGUAACAAGUAUGAUCUAAAAGAGUAUAAUUUGUUUAUAAGACUAGCAAGUGAAAUAAAGCAUGGAGUUUAUUUAAGUUGUGUAUUUGUAUUUAGCGAAAUAUUGUUGAAGAAAGUUUCAGAACACCCGAAGACAAUUAUGUGGAUAUAAAUUUUGUCAAAAACGGAUUUUGUAUGAAGAAGUUAUGGUCAUUCGAAAAGUAUGUUGCUAUUUAUGGAAAGGUGCAAAGCAACUAUGCAGAUGGCAUGGUGCGAGGGAGGAUUUGUGCUCAACGGUCAGGUCAUGACACGAGUAUUAGUUAUCACGACCUGGUGAAGUGUACGGUGUUAGACACAUGUUGAGUGGGUGAGACACAUAUCAAGAGGAUGGGACACAUGGCAAAUCGUCGAGCCGUGCAACAUUUAUCACGACAGGAUAGCCUAUUGGUCACGACUCGAUUCUCAAAAUUAUUGGAGUAUAUAAACAGGUUUGUGUUGUUCAUUUAAAGAGUUUUGGAACUGAAAUCAGAGAGAGAACUAAAGAGAGAUGGUUCUCGGGAAAGUGAUUGGUGAGUCGGUGCUAGAAUAUGAGGGUACGAACCAUCGAUCGGGUUGAGAUAUCUUCUUGUUAUGUUAUUACGUUGUCGUGUUUUAUAGCAUAAUUAUAAUGAAUUAUUAGAACCCAAUCUAGUUUUUAGAAGUCAUAAUAUGGUGUUGUUGGAUUAGUGUCUAAGUCCAUAACUAUUUUGGUAUGUACUUGACCCGAUGGUGCAUGGUCCUUUUGGGUUGCCUUCACCAAAGCAACUUGAUUGGAGAAAUAAAUAGAAAGAGAGGAUAAUAUGAUUUAUUAAUAUGUUAUAAGGAUAAUAUAUUAAAGGAGAAAUCAUAUUUGUUUAAUUAAUAUUGGUCAAUAAUUAAUUGAGAAUUAAUUUUGUGAUCAAGUGUAAUUAAUUAAACUAGAGGGGCUGAAUUGUAAUUAUGUGAUAGUUACAAAAUAAGGUAAGAAUUAUCUUAUAAGUAUGGUGAACGAAUUUAAGGUUGGAAAGCCUUAGAAUUCGAGUAUGAUAAGGAUACAAGGAUUAUCUUAUUGGUUGCUUAAUGGAUAAUCAACUAGAUAAGGAUAAUGACUGAAACCCUAUCUCUACACCUAUAUAAACACCCCUAGGGUUAUGAAUUCGUGUAUCCCUUCCCAAGAAGUCCUAAACACGAAUUCUAACCUCCCUCCUCUCUCUAUAUAUCUUCUCCACUUGCUUAUGGUGUUUGUGAGCCAUUAGAGGAGUGACACUUGUGACUCUCUGCUUUCCAAGGUCAAUUCAAGGAGGAAUUGGAUUGUUAUUGCUAUAUAACAAUCAAGGUAUGUUCUUAAACCUAUUUACAUGUGAAUUCUGAUUUCCAUAUGCUAGAAUUAGGGUUCAAAGUCUUGGAUUCAAAGCAUGUACAAUAGAGAAACCUAGAUCCAAGCAUUAGGGUUUGUAUGAGCACAUAGGAUGUCUUAUGACCAAAACCCAUCAGUGGUAUCAGAGCCUAGCUUGGUUUCAAUUGUAUUGAUGCAUUAGAUAUCUGGAAAAUUCGUUUUUUGGGGUUCUGGAGGCUGGACUCGCCGAGUCCAUAGCUGAACUCGCCGAGUCCAAGGUGACUCGACGAGUCCAAGCCUGACUCGACGAGUCAACUCGUCAGAUGGAGGGUAUUUCGGGAUUUCUUGCUGUUUUUGCUUAUGGAUAGUUACCUUAUCAUGUUAGAUCAAUAUUAAUCCGAUUAUAUGAUAUAUUUGACUAUAUUUUUGAUCUAAUUGAAGAUAUUUAUCAAUUAAUAAGAUAAUUGUUUCCUUAUGUGAUAAUUGAUUAAUUAUUUUGAUUAAAUUGAUAAAUUGUUUUGCAAGAAAUCAUUAAAUAAAUCAAAUAUGGAUAAUUAUGUGAUUAAAUGUUAAUUUAGAUUAUUUGUUAUUUGAUCCUUGUUGUUAUGAAAAGUUUCAUAUUUUCCCCUUUAGGUUUUAUAGUUUAAAUUUGAACCCAAAAGUUUUGUUGUUUUGAAAUUUAAAUAGUUGAAACCCUAAUGUUUUGAAAAAGGUUUCAAAACUUGCCCUCAAGUUUUGGAAUUUAAAUUUUGAUUAAAUAGUUUAAUUUUGAUGUAUAUUUAAAUUCUAAACCCUAAUGUGUUGAAAUGUUUCAAAACUUGCCCUCAAGUUUUGGAAUUUAAAAGUUGAUUAAAAGUUUAAUUAGGAAUGUUAAAUUCUAAAACUCUAGUAUAGUUUUGAAAAAGUUCAAAUCACACCCUUAUGGUUUUAUUAAUUAAUUAAGGUGUAUAAUUAAAAGAGGUUUAAUAAAUCCAUAAAAGUUUAGGUUUACAAUUUAAUUGAAUUAAAAGUAUAAUUGUUAAAUUUGACCACCUAGUAUUUUAAAAGUGUAAAAUACACCCUAUACUAUAUAUAACAUUAAAAGUCUAACAUUAUAUAUAUGUAUGAGUAAAAGUCAGUCUUACCGUUAGUAGGCCUCAUUCACGAAGCUGGUCUAUAAGGGGUGUUUAAGGAAAUUGCCUAUAAAAUGGCGAUUGAAUGGGUAUCCACUCUUACCCACCGCACUCUUGACUAGUGGAGGGUCGUUAGCCGAACGGGUAGGAUAGGAAAAAACCUUCCAUUAUAAGUAUAAUGAAGUAUAAAAGUAACUAAAUGUUUUCAUAAAAUUCCCAAUCUUAGUUACUUAGGCAAAAGUGAAUUGAUGCAAUUCCAUGAAAUUACACUUUGUGCCCUUGCGAAGACGUUAGUGGAGCGUGUGUGGUUUACCGGCACACUAAAUGGUUCUAAGCAAAGGUAGCAAAGGGUGACUCAAUGUUUGUCAUAGUUCGGUGGAGCGUGUGUGGUUUACCGGCACAUCGAAUAGGUGACUGUAACAUGUGAGGGCACCAUGUAAGUUUGCAUGGUUAUUCACACCCGCUUUGUGAUCCUCGGCAUCCCAGUCACAAACAAGAGGGGCAUAUCGAGAUUUAAACAUGCCAUUGAAAGUUCAAUGAAUCUCAAAGGAUCUAGGAGUUUUCAUAGAUUUAAAACUUAAAUUUCUUUUUCGUUUUUCAUGGUGGAAAUUAGUGAAUCGUCAUUCACUUACCUUCAAAUGUUCUGCAAUUUGGGUUACGGCAUCCCUCUCCCGAGUUGUAGAAUAUUGUGUUGGGUCCUAGCCUUAGUAUCUCAUUUGGGUGAUUUACUAAGGACUCAAUCAAUCAACUAACUUGAAUUCGUUUUCUCCCGUUUUGUAGAUGUCAAAGUUCGACAACUAUGGUCUUCCCAAAUCCCGUGGAACAAGCAUUCCACAUGAAGAUGAUAUUCCACGAUUCGAUCGAGGAACAAGAAAUCAUGCUUCACUUCCUCCACCUCCUCCAAUUAUUCUCCCUAACCCACAAGUUCAAAGGCUUGAAAAGUUCAAGAUCACUCAAGCCCUUUUGGCAAGUAAACAUAAAGAAGGAAAGUCGGUGUGUGCACACGUCCUAGGGAUGAAGUCACACAUUGAUAGGUUAAGAAUGUUGGGAUCCGUUGUCUGUGAGGAAAUGGCUGUUGAUUGGGUUCUUCAGUCACUUCCUAACUCAUAUAGUGAGUUCGUAAGAGAGUACUAUAUGAUGAACCGCGACGUGACCCUUAUAGAUCUCACCUAUAUGCUUAUUGCUGCUGAAUCAGCAAUGGUUUGGCGCAAUAGAAAAGCAAAGUUGAUUGGUGAAUCUGCCUUCAAGACCUCUAUGGAUAUAGACAAUGGCAACGAAAGACAUGCUAUGAUCGAAAAGUUUGAUCAUAAGAGAAAGGCAAUGUCUGAAGUAGUUCCAUGUCAUGUUCCAAAAGAGUCAAUUUGCUUUUAUUGCCAAGAGAAAGGGCAUUGGAGACGAAGCUGCCCCAUUUACCUAAGAGAUCUAAGAGAUGGGAGAGUCGAAACGUAUGGCUCUAAUAUAGGUAAAAUCCAUUAACUAACUCUUUUAAGCUUCUAUUCUAGAUUCUUAAUACAUAAUGUGAUAAGAUUACAAUUGAUGUUUUGUAGGAUCGAAGAAAAGAAAGGAAGCUUAAGGGAAGAAGUGAGCAGAAUCUAACCGUGAAGGAAUGGAUUUCGAUCGCAUUUCUCGAAGAUUAGAUUCUUGAGCUACUACUUAGAGUUAGAAUUAGAUUGCUAAGAAAGAUGUAUUAGCAUAGUUUUUCAAUGAAUUGCAUUGUAAGGACAAAAUUUUUCCGCAAUAAAAUAAAUUUUGAUUUUAUAUUAUUUAUUUAUCCUUGCAAUGGCGUAUAUGAAAAAUUGAUGUUUGAAUGUUUCUAUUAUUAGCAAUAAUGGAUUUGGUUCUUAUUAUGUUAUUUAUGGAAAGUCGAGAAUUUACCAAAUAGGGAGAGUUUCUCAUCGCCCAAGUUUCAAUUGGACAGAAACUUGGAAUCAUGCAACUUGGUUGCACGAUGAAUGAGAAAUUUCAUAUUUGGAAAUUAGACUAAUUCAUUGACAAAGUGUCAAGUGAAGGACUAGGAGAUCGAGUACACAAAGUUGCGUGUUGAUCAAGUCCACCAUAAGAGUAACAAAGAUAUUCGUCAUGAUUUACUAAAGGUUUAGUAAAUAUGAUUAUACUUAUAAGAUUAAGUGUAAUUCUGAAUUGAUUUAAAAGGUUUAAAUCAAUAGCAGAACGAAUAAGAAGAAUCAAGUAGGCAGAAAGAUAAAAGUUUCUCCAUUCUAAGAAGAAGGGAGAGUACCUUUUAUGCUUUAUGAUAGGUCUUAAUGAUUAAGAACCAUAUCUCAAUUGAUCCUCUAAGUGAGUCUUAGUACAAUUGUAUGUCUAAGAAGAGGAAUCAAGAAUUGAAGAAAUGGUUAAAUCAAGAAGUCAAUCAUACUUCGUUCCAAAACAAGUCUUAGAGUUAAGAUUGUGACAUUGAGUGAUAAGUAUUAAGAAGGUUUAUAACAUUCAUUAAAUGUGGAAAGUUGUGAUGUCUUGGAUAAGACAAAGACCAACUAGGACCAAUUUAUGAAGUGUUUUGAUAAAAGCUACACUAACUCUUGAAUAUUUGUUUGUCAAGAAAUGUUUUUUGACAAGAGAAUCUUAUAUGUCAAGGAGUCAGUGGGAGUCUUAAUGGUCUUGAAAGGUUUCAAGAACAAAUCAAAUAAACCUUAUCGAUCAUCACUAGCACACGAGUUGAGGUUUACAACCUAUCGUGUUGACAUUAUUUUGAUUCUGUGCCAAUCCAAUCGAGUUAAUUAUGCAUGUGAGUUCUAUGAGUUCUCAUUUUGAACGCAUAAAAGGCAAAGCACCUUAAUCAAUGAAAGGUACAUUGAUAGGAAAGGGUGAGCUGCUUAACUACUUGGAAGACAUGGUGGGCAGCUGUGCUACCAUAAAGGCAAGAAAUCGAGAUCAAGAAAGUUCGAUCCAUAAGAGUUUGAAUUUGUCGUAAACUUUGGUUUUGACAAAUUCACAUGGAUAGGAACAAAUACACCGUUUAAAUCUAAGUGUCAUAAGAUUUCCUCCUUCAUGAAAAUGAUUGUGAGGAAAUGCUUUCACUAAGACAGAUUUUAAGAAGAUAGUGAUUGUAAAAUUGCAUUCUCGAAUUCAAUUAUGGUUACGGCAUCCCUUUCCAUAAUUUGAAUUGUGAGGUUUGGCAAUUAGUCUUAAUUGUUUAGACACACAUAUGAACUAUCGAAGGCAAAUGUGUAUAAGUUCAAGAAACCUUGAUAAAAGAUUAUCAAAGCACUAAGUAUUAGAAACAUGAACUUAAGAAAUUCAAUAAGCAUUUUUUUUCUGAAAGUUAAGAUGUUUAUGAAUACAUGUCGAAGCUAGUGGGAGCAUAAGUGUUAUGUUUUAUAAUAAUCAUCAAGAUAGUGGGAGCAUAAAAGUUAUGAUUGUAUGAUUAUUAAGGAAAGUAUUGCAAGGUUAGCAAUAUUAAUUAUAGAAAACAAGAGUCAUACUUUGCAAAGUCGCAAUAGUUGAAGAGUUGUUUUGCUAUAAUUAAGGGAGAGAAUAUUAUGCUUCAUUUCAAAUCUAAAGGUUUAGGUUGAGAAAUGUUAAUAAAAUUUAGUCAAAGGUACAAAGUGUGUUCUUAAAAUUUCGAUUAUGAUUACGGCAUCCCUCUUCACAAUUCGAAUUUUGAGAACAUAGCAAAUAAAACAUUAUGCGUCGUGUCCCAUACGCUUCGGGUAUAGGAUCGAUUGCAAAUGCUUUAAUGUUUGACCAUUCUAAAAUUUUCCAAAUGUCUAGCGCAUUUAGAGGGAAAAAGGACUAGAAUCGGUUUUGACUAAAAUAAUUAAACAACUAUCAAAGGACAAUCCAAAGUUCGACGAGGAUUGGUCGCUUGUGAGUAGUUGGAAGUAUAGUAUUGGAAAAUAUGGAAAUGUUUCCAUAUUGGAUGGACCAUAUCGACAUCAUUACGAAUAGAUAAGAUUCUAUUAAGAAUGAGUUGUCAUAUGGAACAUAUGGAAGUGUGUCCAUAUUGGGAAUUGAAUAUUGAGAAAUCUAUGACUAGAUUAGAAACUUCUAUGCAAAAGGAUGUUCAAAGAAUGUACUUUGAGUGAGAGACAUCACAUCUAUGGAAUUGUCUUGUAACAAUCUCCGAUAGAGGACUUUGUAAUAUCAUUGGCAAUAGUCUUUGUGACUUUGGUGCAGUGACAUUACGAAAGGAUAGUUGCAUAAAAUGUUAGAAUCUAGCAUAUUCUAUAAGUAGCAAGAAUUUGAUAUUCUUUCACUUAUGAAAAAGGAUUUGGAGUUGUGAAAUGAGAAUGAUUGGAAAUGUGUUCAAUGUGAUCUAUUUCACAAAGUAAGAACCAUAGGUAAACAUUGUGUGCAUGCUAGGAGCAUGGGACAAGUGUUGUAAUUCAAGUAAGAAGUUGAUUACCCGAAACGACAAAUAAUGAGUAAUCAAUAUGGUGAUAAAUAAAAGGUGUUUUAUUUAUACUCAAAGGUUUGAGGCCAUAUGGGAUUAGUAUUAUUCUUGUGUUUCACAUUUGCAUGUUUUGACUUCCAGAAUAAUUGAGUUUAUUAAGAAUAAUCGAAUUAUUCGAACGGGCCACAGUCGUUCAUAUGUUGGAAGUAGAUAUGAAUGAAGACUGUCGUGAAUUGGUGUGUGGAUUGUCUAAAAGAGUAUUAGACAUAAGCAAAUGUUUGCUGCAACGUUCAUGAGUGCUUAUGAAUAUGAUUUGAGCAUUGGAUUAAACCCACGCUCACUUGGAUCACUCCAUGAAUUGUAUCACGAGUGAUUGGUGAGACGAUAACAUCUUAUAUUCUUGAAACCGAGAUGUGUGAGUUGUAUCUUGCAAAUCGGUUGCACAUUGAUAAUAUGUAAACGCACCAGUAACUUGGUGUUAUAAAACAUAUUGUUGUGUGUGAUUCGGUGAGUGAGUGCAAGCAAGCAUUGUAUCAAAGUUUAUCCGUUCCUUUUAUCCAAAGUAGGAUAAAAGCGAUAUCUUUGGGCCCCUCGAUGGUUUAGUGAUGACAAACGUAAAUGCUCGGCCGGGCUAGGGCUAAUUUGAUUUGUUCAAUUAGUCAGUCGUCAUAAAUCGGAAAUCGAGAUAUAGUACAAAGAGAAUGAUUUGAAAUCAUAUCUCAUAUGAUAUCUAGAAUGGAGGAAUAUAUGAUCCCUUAUCUAAGGACACGCGUAUUUGAUAUGAUCAGAGUUGACAGCGGCUUUGGAAAGCUACGAUUGCAGAUCAGGAUCUGAAGUCAUACGCAGAAUAGUUAUUAGACUUAUCCAAGUGGGAGACUGUUGGAUUAGUGUCUAAGUCCAUAACUAUUUUGGUAUGUACUUGACCCGAUGGUGCAUGGUCCUUUUGGGUUGCCUUCACCAAAGCAACUUGAUUGGAGAAAUAAAUAGAAAGAGAGGAUAAUAUGAUUUAUUAAUAUGUUAUAAGGAUAAUAUAUUAAAGGAGAAAUCAUAUUUGUUUAAUUAAUAUUGGUCAAUAAUUAAUUGAGAAUUAAUUUUGUAAUCAAGUGUAAUUAAUUAAACUAGAGGGGCUGAAUUGUAAUUAUGUGAUAGUUACAAAAUAAGGUAAGAAUUAUCUUAUAAGUAUGGUGAACGAAUUUAAGGUUGGAAAGCCUUAGAAUUCGAGUAUGAUAAGGAUACAAGGAUUAUCUUAUUGGUUGCUUAAUGGAUAAUCAACUAGAUAAGGAUAAUGACUGAAACCCUAUCUCUACACCUAUAUAAACACCCCUAGGGUUAUGAAUUCGUGUAUCCCUUCCCAAGAAGUCCUAAACACGAAUUCUAACCUCCCUCCUCUCUCUAUAUAUCUUCUCCACUUGCUUAUGGUGUUUGUGAGCCAUUAGAGGAGUGACACUUGUGACUCUCUGCUUUCCAAGGUCAAUUCAAGGAGGAAUUGGAUUGUUAUUGCUAUAUAACAAUCAAGGUAUGUUCUUAAACCUAUUUACAUGUGAAUUCUGAUUUCCAUAUGCUAGAAUUAGGGUUCAAGUCUUGGAUUCAAAGUAUGUACAAUAGAGAAACCUAGAUCCGAGCUUUAGGGUUUGUAUGAGCACAUAGGAUGUCUUAUGACCAAAACCCAUCAGGUGUAAUUAUGAACUUCAUUGUAAACCUAACAUGUGAAUUAUAUGGAUUGGUUGAUAUAGGUUAUAAACUCUAAUUAGUAGAAUUGUUAGAAAUAUAAGAUUUAGAUAAUAGCUUGUGGGUUUAAGUUAUUUAGCAGUUUUAUUAUAGAGUUUAAUUAGUCUGGUGAUAAUUAGUCACGGAGUUUAGCUCGUAGUGAUAGGUUUUGACGAACUUCUUAAUUGUUGAAUAGGUGUUAUUAUGUGGCAAGUUGAAAGGCAACGAACAUCAGGAACCAAAAUUAGAGUUAGUCUACUACCUAACCCGGUGAGUAACUCUACUCUAACACUUAUUGUUGUUAGUGUGUGUUGUUACAUAAUAUGUGGAUUAGUUGUAUUGUAAUGAUUUUAUAUUGCAUUUCAGUGAGAGGUGAUAAUAUACAGUGAUGUGGUGUAUUUACUUUAGACGGAGUAUAUCUGUAGGUAUGUAUAUAUAUAUUUUAGUGGUGAAUUAUUGGCUAGCUACAAAGGUGUUAUAAGGCAAUAACCAAUUAAUUUAUAUACCAAUUCAUGUACUUUAAUUAGUAUAUUUGAUGUAGCGUACUUUACUUUGUUGACGAUAAGUUGAUUUAUAUAUGACGAUAAUUGUUGUUAUGUUAUUGUAGUAGCUAUUUACUAAGCUUUAUAGUUUAUGAUGUUUAUUGAUGUUGUGUUGCAGGUUAGAUUGAUUGUAACCCCUAUUUCGGAUCUUAUAUUUGAUGUCAGUAUGGUUCCUCCGGGUGAUAAUUUAUUGUAUUCUAGUAUGCUAGUGUAUACCAAAAUCUUUUAUAUGGUUGUAAAUAAAUAAUUUUUUAGGAUGUAUCUAGUGUAAAAUAUAUGGACGUUAAUACACCCUUCCAAGUUUUGAUUUUAUUAGGUUGCAAGUCUUGGGUUAUCAGGUACGUCAAUCUUCUUUUGGAAAGAGUUUUUCCUAAUUCGAGUGUACUUGGUGUCAUAAACGUAAUUGGACAAAAUAUUGGAUAGUGAUGUCACUAAGUAAAAGUAGCAUUAAUUAUUAUAAGGUAGAGUCAAGAUCAAAUAAGAAGUAAAAUUUUUGUAGAAAGAUAAGAAGUGUUUUUUUCUACAUAUUUUUUUAGCGAACAAACAAAAUGAAUCAUUAGAUGAUCCACAAGAAAAUUUUCUCAAAAAAACAUGUUCAUGAUUCAUUUAUAAGUAAAUUAAGAAAAAUUCACGUUUAUGACAAUUUUAGUGAAUAACAACAAAAUUGCUAUAUAAAUGAAUCAUCGAGAUGUUUUUUGAGAUUUUUUUUUUUGUGAAUCAUGUUAUUUUUGAUUCAUCUAGUGAUUCAUUUGUUUUAUUCAUCAAAAAAAUAUGUAGAAAAAAAAAUUAUACCUUCCUACCAAAAAAAUUCGUACCAUAUCUAUAUCUUUACAAGAUAAGCAAUGUAUUUUAAAAGCUAAAGCCAUCUAAAAACGUAUAAUAUAAAAUAUUGUUUCAAUCUUAAUUUAUAUGUGAAUUUCUUCCUCUUCCUUUUCUAUUUUAUUAUCAUACCUAAUUCAUAUACAUUCUUUUAGUUUUAUGCAACGGCUUACCAAAUAUUUGGCAUGUUUGUUAUUCCACCAUACAAACAAACGUAUUAAAACUCUAAAUUUUAUAACUGAAAAUGAAAUAAAACCACAACAAACAAAAUCUUUAUUUUGGAAAUAUAAUAAUAGCACGUUGGAAUAUUAAAAGUUCUUUUAAGUUUAGACAAGGACAUGACAUGACCUUUUUUAUACAUAUAUCAAUAAUAAUAAAAUUGAAUAUUUAGUAAACAAACAACUUAUCGUAACAAAACAAGCAUUUCAAACAAAAUAAUAUACAUGACUAUGAUGAUAUCUUCAAUCACUCAUACACAUAUACAUACGUAAAUAUAACAUGUAUAUAUACCAAAAAGGGUUAUGUCUAAAAUACCCCUCGAAAUCAUACCAUUCUAGCAAGGACUUUAAGGAUAUCCUCCACAGAUGGCCUAUGCAAAGGGUCAAAUUCCACACAAGCUUUAGCCAAGACCCCUAAACAUAAUGCCUCAGCCAAAGGGUAAUCCUCGUUCAAGCAAGGGUCCAUAAAACCUCUUAAAUGCUCAAAACAACCUCCUCCACUACCCUCUCCUCCCAAAAACCCGAUGGAAUCUCGUAACGAUUUCUUGUCAGUGUUCACUUUCCCUGAUAAAAUUUCAAGCAAAAUCAUCCCGAAUUCCAAAAUAUUUUCAUACUCUGAACCAGAUGACCCCACGUUGCAUGGAUUCGUGUUCCCUGACAAAACUGCCAAUUUCGCCCUCCAUGUUGAUGUCACAAAUAUACUUUCAUUACAAAGUCCUGUUUGCAUGUAAGGAUUAGCUAUGCAAUAAUGUAGGUAGUGCAACCCCAUUGCGACAUCAAACGCGAUUUGAGUUCUUCGAGUCCAAGUCAAACUCGAGGAAUUAAUCAAACAAUCCCUUAAACUCCCAUUUGAUGGAUGCUCCAAAACAAGAUAUGACCAUGAAGACUCAUUGUAACAUACACCAAGCAAUUUCAUGAUGUUGACAUGGUUAAUUUUCGAAUGGAGAUCAAUGACAUGGCGUAUUUCGGAGAAUUCAAUCUCUUUGAUUAGUACUUGAACAUCAUCGAAUGACCCUCUAUAAAUAUCUUCACUCACAAUACAAUCUUCACUAAAAUCUCUUGUCGCUCUUCUAAUUUCCUCGAUUUUGAAAUUAUACAAAGAAUAUUUUAUUCCCGCAAGCAAAUCAGGUGACAAACAUGAACUCGGUGAGCUUCUUGUGAUCGGGCUUUUUGGUGAGCUAAUUGGAGGUGUUGAAAACGAGUUAAAAGAGCUUCUAAGGGUUGAUGGUAUUAUAAAAAUAUCGCGUCUGCAUUUAUUUAACGCAUUUAUAUACAAACAUGUCACAAUUAGUAUGGCCACCACCAAACCCGACCCGAUGACCGAAACAACAAUGUACACUUUCUUUAGUUUCAUGGAUUUGACAUUUCCUUCUGUCGGAUUUGUCGGGUAAAAUCCGGGUGUCGGUGGUUGAAAACUAGGGACAUUAAAGUUAAUCAUAGGUUUUGAAUGCAAUGGUACCAAAAUUGUUGUUUCAGGAUAAACAGUCGUAUCACUAUUUAAAUUGUUAACUGCGAAAAUGUCAUCUUUAGAAAUACCAAAUUUUGUACUUAUCGGCUUUACAGAAUCUCUUGAAACCAAAGGAUACGCGACCAAAUAUUUAUAACCAUUAUUAGGACAAGCACAUUUUAAAGGCACAUUAAGAACAAAACCAACCUUAUAAACUUCUUGAUUUUGAUUUUCCUCAAGAAGCGUGACUGUUUUCACCAAACCUUCAAAGACCCCACAUGCAAUAUCUGAAAGUGUCGUGUUUUCCAUGAUUGUAUAAUUUAUUUUUGCUUGAAAAAAGUUAUCAGAGCAAGAACAUCUAAGAGGAACAAGUACUUCUCUAUCCAUAAGGAGAACUUCUGAACUAGAAUCUAUGUGGUUUAAUUCAAGCAAGGUGUUGGGUGGCAAUCCAAACAAGGUGGCUAUGGUGGAAAUGGUCGGAAACUGACGGUUUGACCGGAAAAUCAAGAAAGUUUGGCAUGACAUCUUGGUCAACGUCGUGUUGGUGCAAGUGUACCUUGUCCCUGGAGCAUUGCCAUCUUUGCGACAAGAUGUUGCGUCAUAGAAUGCUUGUUCGUGGCUUGAGAUGAUCGAGCUCAUGAGAAUUAGCAACAAGAUAUAAAUCAUAGUAUUGUUGCUAUUUAAUAUUUUAUUAUCUUUGCAUCGAAAAAACAAGUAACAAAAAACAUAAAAGUUUGAAAUUUAUAAGAAGUGAUAAAUGGUUAGAGGGAUGAUAGUCAAUGGAGUUAUGCUUUUUCAAAUGAAUAAUUUUAAUGUAAAUAUAAACUAGAAAUAAUUGAUUAGCUUUAUGGUAGCAUCAAUAGCCGGCUGGUGAACUAAAAUACAAAAACAUUUGCAAUUAUUCUUGGGAUACUAUGUGUUUGUAUUUUACUGAUGAGAAUUUUUUAAAUUUUAAUUACUUUCUUUAUUGGGUUAAAUGUAUACAUGUAGUAAUGCAUUUCAUAUUAAAGUUUAUUAUUACCAAAUAUAUUAUUGAUUUACUGUACUAGUUCUAUGUAAAAUAAGAACAAAAUCUAUUUUAUGCAUUUUUGCUAUAAAAGGAAGCUAAUACGACUAACUUGACUAUGAAAUUGUAAUACAACACAAUAGUUUUUUUCUAGUAUUUUUUUUAACAAGAGAGUUAGUAUAUGCCUAGAAUUAAACAUAUAGAUUCCUUCUCAGAAAACUUUUAGUUAGACAGUUAGUCAAAGCUAAACCCAACUUGUACAACACAAGCGCUAAAAAGUCGUUAUCAAUAAGAGAAAUUAGAAGUAUGUUGAAAUUGCAUUAUUAAAAGUAAUAAUGAUAUGUAAUAACAAAUUUUGUUUUAUGUAUAUAUUUAAUCAUUUAAGUUUUUUUAUAUGUUUACCAUUCAACUUAGAGGGUGUUUUGUGUUCAUUUAAAAACUUUUUACUUAACUUAUUUACUUUUGGAAAAGUCAAUAAACUUAAAAAAAAAUAUUUGGAUGUUCGUGUGUUCAUCUAAUACUAAAAGUUAUUAACUUAUGGACCUUCUUUUUUUUUUUUUUUGUCAUGUCAACCCAAUAUACACCCAAUAUACAGUUUAAAAGUUUGGUUAAUAUUCAUUGUUCUUUAAUAACCGGGAAAAAUACAAUAAAAUUAAAUCAAAAGACCAAUAUACCCAAAUUGCCCAUGUAGCUUCCAUUUAUGUUUACUUUAAAAUUUUAAUAUUGAGGUCACAAAAAGUUUGAAUUUUUUUAAAUACGUCUCAUUUUGCUUCCUAAACUCUUAAGUUGAAGAAAUUUGGAGUCAAAAUAACCUUAUUUUGAUUCAAAAAUACAUUUUCAUAAUUUGUCAACUUAAACAUAAAAAUAAAAGUACAUUGAUAUGAAAAUAUAUAUAUAUAUAUAUUGCUCAAAAUUGUCAUUUUGACCCUUUCAUUUCCCCUUUAAUUCAUGUCAACCCAAUGUAAAUUUAAAAGUUAGCCUAAUGUUUGUUGUUCUUUAAUAACAUGAAAAAUAGGAUUAAAUAAAAACAAUAUACCAAUAUACCUAAAUUGCCCCUGUAUUCUCCAUUUUCGUUUAUUUUAAAAUUUAAUAUUGAGAGUACGUUGCUAUUUCUUGACAGCACCGGUUAUAGCGGCCAUCUGUGAUAAAAUCAAAUGGUAUUUCAGAUAACCACCAACUCAAAUAGGAACAUAGAUUACAAAAAUGUAGAAGAAUGUGAGAUAGAAAACUUGAAGGCUUUGUCACACUACCUAGCCAAAGCAUACACAAACAUACGGUCACAUCAGAUGUACACCAAUUCACUAUUUUCUUCUAAAUGACCAUUAUACCCCUCCACCCUCCAAUUCAUAAAAAGUUAUUAUGAUUAAAAACUGAAAUAACAUUGUACUUAUGUUUCUUUGACAAUAUUUGCAACCGAUUAAAGUACAAUGCUAUAAUCUAAGGAAACCUCAUAAAAAUGCUUUAUGUUUCUUCUUGUCCCGAAGUUUAUAUUUCUUUGUCUUUCUUUUAGUCAUUAUGAUCCAUCAUUAAUUUAUAAGUAAUGAAUUUAUAUUUACAAAAGCAGUAAACGUGAUAGAAGUUGAUUAAAACCCAAAUAAGAUUAUAAUGAAAUUAUAAAAAAUAAUAAAUUAUCCAAUGCAUUUAUUGCUACUGCCCAUUAUUACCUCGCCAAUAUACAUGUAUAAACAUUAACAUCAUUCACUCACUAAUCUUGUAACUUUUAAUAAAAGUAAAAUCGUUACCCUUCACAAAAAUUUAUCUAGUUGCAAGAUUCGUUUAUUAUCGACCCUUGAUACACAAAACUUCUUCUUGGUGCAUCAUCAGCUUCUAACUGAACUGAAUCUCAUAUAUCACUAACCAUCAAUCUGUAAACGAAAACAUAAAUCCAAAAAAUCAAAAGUAAGCUUUCAUGAGAAUCAGAAUCUAAUCAAUUUCACUCAAAGCGAGUUGGGUGAAAGCCACAACGUGUGGGAGAACUUCAACAUGGAGACAAAAGCUUCAAGUGGAUUGGAAACACAAAACACAAUCAUACCUGAUGCCAGAAAGAGGAUUGGAGGUCUGAUGAUAAGCAUAUCUAAAAAUAUUAAGGAUUAGAGAAGAGAAAGCAAGUCUGAUGAUGAUAUUGAGCAAAAUAGUAGAUUCGAAACACGAAACAUAAUCACCCCUGAUGUCAGAUAGAGGAUUGGAGAAGAGAAAGGAGGUCUAAUGAUAAGCAUAUCUAAAAAUUAGGGUUGAAACCUGUAGGAUUACUUUCAGCAAAUCGACCAAAUAGGGAAAUUGACAAAAAAAAUUGGAAUGAAUUACCUUUAUAAUGCUAAUUUAUUCAGGAGCUUCGGUGAUCCCUCCUUGAUUUCUCCUUCCCUGAAGUUCAUUGUGACAGAAUCUACACCUUGUUACAAUGAAUAAUAUAACCAUUUGGGAAAAAAAUAACUUGAGUAGUGUGACAUCCCCAAUUUCUCGGCCAGAAAAGACCGGUUUGUUUAUGCUUUAUUUUAAAAUCAGAGUAAUCGUUUAAAGAAAACGGUUGCGGAAUUUGUUCCCAAACAAAAUAUGAUAAAAUUUAUCAAAACGUUCUUCAAAGAGAAUGUAUUUUCAUUAAAUAAUAAAACCUCGGGAUGUCAUGUUCCGAUACAGACCAAAAGCAUAAACAAUAUAAAAUAGACCUUACAACAGUUAUUUGUAACUACUGAUCUAUAAUCCAAAAUCUCUCAUCAAGUCCACCAAUUUAUACUCUUGUGCCAUUACCUGUAAUGCAAAGAAAACUGAGUGGGUCAGGCUUGGGAGCCUGGUGAGCAUGUAGGGUUUUCAACCCACAAUAAUACAUUUAUUAUAUUGAAUUAUCAAACAAUCAACCCAAAUACUCAUUCCCAUUAUCUCCUUUAUUUCUUAAGGAUUUACCCUAAGAAUCAACUAUCCUUUAACCAUUUAUUCCUAAGGAUUGACCUAAGGAAUUGACACAAAGUCCACCACUGCCAAGGUCCACAAAUUACGAUUGGUAAACACUUAGUUCAACAUACUUAACAAACACCUAGUUCUAACACUCCUAGUGAACCAUUAAUUCAAAACAUCUGGUGAAUACUUAGUUCUAAAACACUUAGUGAACACACUCAGUUCAACAACACCAAGUGAACACAUCUAGUUCAAAAAGACUUAAUGAACACAUUGAGUCCAAAAAUACCAAGUGAACACAUAGAGUUCGGAAAUAACUAAUGAACACAUUGAGUUCAAACACCAAGUGAACACGUAGAGUUCAAAAAUACCUAAUGAACACACUGAGUUCUAAAAUACUUAAUGAACACAUAUAGUUCAAAAUACCUAAUGAACACAUUGAGUUCAAGGACACCAAGUGAACACAUAUAGUUCAAAAUACCUAAUGAACACAUUGAGUUCAAAACACCUAUUAUUUCGUCUCACAUCAACUAUUUCAUCUACCCAUGUUCUACCCAACAUAUUUGUAGAUGCAAACACAUAUAAAGUUUAAAUCUUUUAAAACAUGUAUAACACAUUAUUUCAACAUUUAUCUCAAGUAAACAAACAAUGUAUAAACACCUAGCACAUACUUCAUAGCAAAUACUUCAUAUCUAUGCGGUAGAAGAAAGUGAAUAUACAUUCACACAUAUAACAACAAAAUAUACACAUAACACGUAUUUCGUAUAAAAUACUUCGUAUUUAUGCGUUAGAAGAAAGUAACCACACACUCACUUGAUCAGAAGAUGAUCGGACAGCACUACAACUUGCAGAAGUAGUAAUCCACAGCAGAUCUGGAAGAUCUCCACAAAAAUCGAACUUCUCGCGGGCAGAGCUUCGGCUCGAGAACCGCACUUCUCGGGAUCUUCGGGAUCUCGGGACUUGCCUCGGGGCUAGAGAAUAAUACCGGGGCUUCGGGGUAUUUCUGGCACGCAAAACGAUGCAAAACGGGAGAGAGAAGAGAAGAAAUUGGCAACCCUAAACGGCUGGCCCUUCAAAUCUAUUUAUAGGGCAAAUUUGGCCCUUGCCACGUCGUGGCAACCUUGUUCCACGUCGUGGGCUCUGACAGUUUUGGGGUUUCGCGCCCCGAACUUCAGAAAUUCAUAACUUUCACAUACGAACUCCGUUUUCGAUGUUCUUUAUAUCGACGCGAAGGUGAGAUUAUGAUCUACAACUCUCGUUUAGACUCCAUUGGCUAAUUUUGACUUUAUUUUUAAUAUAUUAUAAGUAUAUUAGUUAUAUAUUAUCUUUAGUAGGUCAGGACAGGAAAACUCCGCUCGAAAUUCAUAACUCCUUCAUCUGAACUCCGUUUUCGUCUGUCUUUUUAUCGAUGGACUACUAUCGAAUAAAUCUUCAACUCUUGUUUAGAUCACUAAGGAUAAAUAUCUAUCUACAUUAAGUUCACUAUUUACAUCGCGCUGGGUCGCGCUGGGUCGUGCCGGUUCUGUCGCAAAACUUCGACAGGUCAUAACUUCUUCGUUAUAACUCGGAUUUUGGCGUUCUUUAUAUGCACGGAAACCUUGUGACAUAUACUACAACUUGGUUAAGAUUAAUCCUUCUAAAUAAUAUUCCAUCAAAAAGUCAUUUUUGAUGCUUAUCGUCUCUAAAUUGACUAGCCCUGAUCUACGGGCGUUACAAGUAGAGGUAAAUGAAUUAAACCCGGUGUGGAUCUUCCGACUGUUCUUUGAUCCUGAGAAUUUUGGUAUGCUUAUAUACGAAUAACCCUUCGUAUGGAUCUACUUCUUCGUCAUAUUGAGGAAUCAGACUGUGUAGGUAAAGCACAAAACGACGACUGAAUAAUUGAAAAACCCCCAAACAUCCAGUCCUGAAAUCGAAAAAAUUGACCAAAAUUCAUCCAAACCCAUUCUAUGUUCUCUAAAACCACGCACACAUACACACAUCUACAAUACCCCCUGAAGCUUCCGAUCGUUAAAAAAAUCAAACAGAGAUAAAGAGAGGAGCAUCACCGGUUAUUGUGAUUUAAUUGUUGAUUUGGAGAUGAUACUGUUUCCUGAUUUGUUGCUAUGUAAUUGUUGAUUCUUUGGAAUGUUAGGUUUUUAGAAUUAAUGAUUUCUUGAUAUAAAUCACGUAGUUGAUUCCCAAAAAAAUUGAAUUUCAAAAGAGAAUAAGAGGAAUUAACAAUACAUGCAAUUAUAUAGUGGCACAAGGGUAGAAUUGGAAUUUCAGAUUGAUAAUAUGGGUGGGAAAAAAAGCUGGAGGAGAGCUAAGAAAAUGCCACGUGGCGAAAAUGUAUUGUUUUAUUAGAAUAGAGGAUGUCUUUAGAUGUGCUUAGUAAUCACAUUUCGGUCUCCUCGUUAGUCAAUGCUUGCCUACAUGUUCUCUUCCUCUGCUAUGGAUUUUACUCUUUUGGACACGAUGUGCUCCUCCCAUCGAUUCAUCACCUCAUCUUCCAAUCAAACGCACUCACCUCCUCUAAACUGACCUCUAGACUCCACAAAGCAAGAUUGAUCCAGCCGCCACAAAUGCUAAUUACUUUCAACCAUCGUCUCUUUCCCCCUUCAAUCUCCUUCUUCUGUGUGUUCUUCCCAAUCUCACUCACUGACGAUUGCGACAAAUGUGACAUCCCCAAAAUCACAGCUAGAAAAGACCGGUUUCAUUUAUGCUUUUAAAAUAAUUUCAGAGUAAAUCCAUUGAUUUUAAAGAGUUAUGGAAUUUGUCCCCAAAACAAUACAUGAUAAAAUAAGGUUUAUCAAAGCAUUUCUUAAAGAAAUGUAUUUUCAUUAUAUAUCAAAAAUCGGUAUGUCAUGUUCCGAUACAGACACAAAAGCACAAACAAUAAAACAUAGACCUUACACAGUUAUAUACAACUACUGGUCUAUAAAAAAAACAUCUUCAUAAUUUCUCCAGCUUAUGCUCUUGUGCCACUACCUGUAAUACAAAGAAACUGAGUGGGUCAGGCUUGGGAGCAUGGUGAGCAUAUAGGGUUUUCAACCCACAAUAAAUAGUUAUAUUUAAUUUCACCAACCAACAAUAACCCGAUUUCCCAUUCCUGUUAUCCUCACUUUACGUCCCUAUGACAACAACUAUUACAAGGGACCUAAUCUAGGAUUUUCAUCGAGACGGACACUACUGCAAAGGGGUUUCCUCAGCAAUGAAUGUCCCAAGGCAACCAUGCGGGAGAUAGAAUACAACAAAUGAACACCCAAGUUCACUACACCUACAGGUUAUGAGUCUGCCAACGUUCCACUGAACUGUCUAGAAAAGUCUGUGGCCAUCAUCCAUAUUUUGUUGGAUGACUAGAUCACAAUCACAUCAAGGCCUCUCAUCAUUUUUAUUUCAUCACACAUCGCUAUCUACCCAUGUUCUACCCAACAUAUUUGUAGAUAAAAUGUACUUGUUUAUAUACAGCUUAAAACCUGUAUAACAUAUUCAUUCAAUACUCAUAGUACCACAUAACAAAUAGUAUAUAGUCACAUAGCACGUAUUUCAUAGAGUAUAAUUCAUAUAUGUGUAUUAUCAGAAAGCAACUACAUACUUACUCAUAUCAUAUAUCUAAUACAGUCAUCAAUACUUGUAUUAAAAUCGUGUAUGUGAAAGGGACUAUGCACUUACUUGAUAAGAUGAUUAUCGGACAGAACUACGGCUCUAAAAGCAGUAACUCUUCGAUAAAUCUGUGAUAUCUUCACACACCGGGCUUCUCGCGAGCAGAGCUUCGGCUCGGAAACUCUUUUCUUCUCGGGAUCUUCGGAGCUUUGAAACUUGCUUCGGGUUUCGAGAUGAUACCAGGGCUUCGGGGGUAUAACUUGCACGUAAAUCGAGGUAAUAUGGAGUGAGAGAGAAGAGAUUUGGCAACCCUAAACGGAUGACCUUGCUUUCUAUUUGUAACAGCGUAAAUUUCAAAACAAAUUUUUCAUUUUUUAUCAACCAAGUUCAUAUAAAAACAUUCUCAAAUAUUUCCAACAGUAGUUUUUGAAACAUAACAUAUCCCAAGAUCAUAAAAAUCAAACUCUCUCUAGUGUGUACGAGUCACGUCGGUGCCUUCCCACGGUCCUCGCUAGUACCUGAAACACAUAACACAACAACUAUAAGCAUAAAUGCUUAGUGAGUUCCCCAAAAUACCACAUACAACACAUACACCACUCGAGGCUAUAAUACGACCAUCCGGUCGACGUGUCUCAACGGGACCCUCCAGUCCCGUAGCUCGUUGGACCCUCUAGUCCGGUCAUAGCUCGUUGGACCCUCCGGUCCGGUCUAUAAUAUCAUACAACAUACAUAUAUCACAUAGCACAUAAUCUCAUACGUAACACAUAAGACCCUCUGGUCAACACAUAAUACCACUCUAGGUAAUGUAUAGUGAGAAGACUUACCUCAGGUGUCCCAAUAAGUCUCUGACUCGGUAGAAAUGUGAUCUAGCCUCCGCUUAAUCACGUAAAAUAAAUACUCUCAUAAAUAUAACUAUACUCAAACCUUUCUUAACACCCUCAGAAGGGUAAAAAACCAUUUUACCCCUCUCUUGGCUCAAAGGCCUCACUGUUGACCAAACCCUAAAAGUCAACCACAAGUCAACAGUCAAACUUUGACCCGACUCGUUGAGUGCACUUGGGCGACUCGGUGAGUCUACACGUGUCUACUGACUCUCUUAGUCCCUUUUGGCACGUCGAGUCCUUCUCCUUACUCGACGAGUCACUCCUGGCAACUGGCAUGAAUCGCGGAGCCACCCCGACUCAACUCGCCGAGUCUCAAGAACAACUCGGCGAGUUCCACUUUGAACUCCAGUCCCCUAGCUCUCCCUGACUCACCAAGUUAUUUCCCCAACUCGGCAAGUCUACUCACUGAGUGAUUUACGGGAAACCCUCAUCCUACUCGCCGAGUCUGAUCUUCGGACUCGGCGAGUUCAUGCCAUGCACAAACUCCAUAGACCUCCUGAGGUCAGAUCUGUUUUAAUCCAUAGAUCUGACCUUCCCAAGCAUGAUAAUCACGUAAAAGUUCAGACCUUGACACUCAAAUAGCAUCAAGAUGGUCUUACUUGGUGAUUUAGUCUCAAAAUAACAUCCUAAAUUCAUGACUCCCAAAAUAACUCCAAAAAUCCCCAAGGGUUAAGGUCUCUGGACUCCUUUGAGUCCAGAUCCAAAGCAUGAACUCGAGAAGGGACCAAUUGCUCCAUAAUCUAUCCUCUAAAGGGGGUUAGAAAACCCUAACUCUAGGAAAUCAACACCACAACUGAAGAAGGUCUGAAAAAUACCUCAAGAUGAAGUCUAUGAGCUCUAAAAUCACCAGAAUCACACCUCCUUCAGCCUCCUCUUGGCUUGGUUUCCUCCUUCUUGCAAUUUCACCAACAAAAUGAUCACAAAUGGCCUCUCCUUCCUCACAAAUGCUCUAGAUCUCUUAGGGUUUCUCUCUGGGGUUUGGUAGCCGCAAAUGACGGCCCUAAGGUCCUUUAAAUAGGUCCCAAACACAGGAAAUUAGGGUUUCAUUAAACAGCGUGGACUCGCCGAGUCUGGCUGUGAACCCGGAUACGAAUCCGCGACCAUACUCGGCGAGUUUAAACACCAACUCGCCGAGUCCCCUCACAACUUCCAAAAAUAAUAAAUAAAAUAUUAUACCUGGGAAUCCGGAUGUUACACUAUUUAUAGGAGGCUGAAAAACCAUGCUCACGUCGUGAGCUCGAAUAUGUCAUUGCGUUCGCCAUGGCCAUUAUCCCUAGAAGACGUCCAUCACCUGCUCACGUCGUGAACACUGUGCUCACGUCGUGAGCUUUGACACAAGUGGAAGUUCGUGCCCCAAACUGCAGAAAUUCAUAUCUUUCGCAUACGAGUUUGGUUUUCGAUGUUCUUUAUAUUUACGCGUAGGUGAAAUUAUGCUCUACAACUCUCAUUUAGACUCCGUCGACUAAUUUUGACUUUAACUUUUAUUAUAUUAUUUUUAGUAGGCCGGGACAGAAAAACUCCGUUAGAAAUUCAUAACUCCUUCAUCUGACGUCCGUUUUCGUCUGUCUUUUUACCUUUGCAUUACUAUCAACGAGAUCUUCGAUUCUCGUUUAGAUUGUUUCAGCUAUUCGAACUUUGGGUUGCAUACUGCUAAGUCGAAACUUCAAAAAAUCAUAACUUCCUCAUACGACGUAAGAUUUAGACGUUCUUCUUAUGCACGCUCUCAGUUUAACGUAUUCUACGACUUUCAUUUAGAUCACUAAGGCUAAAUAUUGCUCUAUCGUAAACUCGCUAUUUACAUCAUGUAGUGUCGUACCGCUUCUGUCGCAAAACUUUGACAGGUCAUAACUUCUUCGUUAUAACUCGGAUUUCGGCAUUCUUUAUAUAUCUGGAACCCUUGCCACGACCACUACAACUUCCUUCAUAGAUAUUGGGCUUAUCUAAUAUUUCAUUAUUACGCUUAUUUUUAUUCUUAAUUCAUUUAAGCCACACAAUUAAGCAUAAAACACAUAAUACUCAAAUAAUACAUUUCUAUUAUUUCAAAAUGAGUUACAAAGGUUAACCUACACUAUUACAUCAAUAUUAAUGCCUAGCCUAUAAACACAGGCGUUACAACAAAACACCACAAAUGGUUCGAUUCCUUAUACCCCUUUUCUUAAUUUCACACCCCGACUCUUCUUUUGUAAUGGUAUGUAGUCAAUCGGGUGAGAAACAAUAAUUCCCUAUCCUUCUACCAUUUUUUGUUUCACUGUCAUCGACCAUAGUGUUUUCGAAUCCACUAUCCAACUAUCUCUCUAGGAAAACAACAUAGAUGAAGCUUGGAAGUGUUUUAAAUCUCUUUCAUCGCCAUCUUCAUUACUACCAAGUAGGCCUCUCAUUAACUCAUUGAUUACUCAUUUGUGUUCGGUCAGGAACGACACUUACAAUCUCAAAAGGGCAUUUGUUACUUUGAUGUUUAUGUUAGAGACAAAACCAUAUGUAUUAGAGCAUAAAUCGGUCGAGUCAUUCUUAAUUUCAAUCAAGGGUACAAAUGGUGGAUUGUCGGACCACUCACCACCACCAUCGAAUCAAGAGAGCUGAUGUUCAGCUUUGACGGUAAUUUCUCUCCUAUUUUCUAUCGCAUCAAAUUCCUUGCAAAACUCAAAAUUAAUAAGGUUCUUGCUUUCAAGGUUUGUUAAUAGCCCUAAUUUCCAUCAUCAAUUAUUUUUCUCGUGAUUCUUUAUGUGUGACAAAAGAAAUCAAUUCUUUGAAGGUUUGGCAUUAACGUUAUUUUCAAGGUAUCAGUUCUUUUAUUUUUUAAAUACUUCGUAUAAAAAAAAGUUUGUUGAUUUCUAGAUGAAUUUUAUGUUGUAAAAAGGGAACUUUACUAGUGGAAUAAUGAACAUACCACAAACGGAUAAAUGAGUAAUAUCAAAAGUUGGACUUCCUGCUGUAUAGUUUACAAUGCUUAUAUUUGAGACAAAUUGAACAAGAUUUUUCUAUUUCAUGAAGGUUCCAUCGGAAUUCGCAAAAUCCAUUUACAAGUAGAUUUCAAAAUCAAUCAAAAAAUAUGUACGUCUGCUUUCUCUCUUCCACUCAUGAGCGCUCACAAAUUCUAGUUUAUUUCCACAACCAGAUGUGUGAUAAAAUUCUAUUUCUUUAAAUAAUGUACCAACUUCAUUUUGUUCAUUUAUUUUUUAUUUUUUCAAAUCAUGUAAUUUUUGAGUAUACAUGAUCUAAUAUGUGUUGUUUCUAUAGGAAAAGUAUCACACAUUAAGUGGAUGUUUUCGGAACUAUUUUAGUAUGGAUUAGCAUUUUAAAUUUCUCUAUUUUCACCCCCAUUAGCUCUUUCUUUUAAAAAAUUCUAAUGAACUUUUAUAUACAUUAGAUGUUUGGUCCAUGAGUGUGGCAUGUUUGUAUUUAUUUAUCACUACAUUACAACUUUGCAUUUAUGUUGGAGACACUAGGCUACUACUACGAGUUAUACCAUCCAUGUAAACUUGGUCUCUGAACAUGAAUCUCCAUAUGAUAUGUUACUCUAACAUCCUUUCUUGCAAAUUCGUUAUACUUUUUGGGAGGCCGAAGGUAAUCAUGCUCGGAGUUUUGGGUUUUCUAUCUAAUGGAUUUGCCACCACAAGCUUUGGAUUGAAGGUGAUGGAAGAAUGAGGAGUAGACGUGAACGGAUUCUGGAAGACAUUAGACGGGCUACAAGGUGUGUGUUUUAAACCACUUUUCUUCUCCACCUUCUUUUUUUGUUCUUUUAGCUAAAUGAUUAAUUAUGUAGCAAAUGGGUUAUAGAUCUCAUAAACCUUUAUUGUGUUUAGUAGUUAUUUUUGUUUUUCAAUUAUUCUUGAUGCUUUAAUCUUCAAUUUUAUACAGGAUGCCGAGGAUAAUGAUGUAUACUUCAAUAUUUACUAGGGAAAGGUUUUACUUAUUAUUAAUGUUGCCUCCAAAUGUCUACAAUUGUUUUAUGCUUUUAUGAGUUUUGGGUAAUAAUUUCAGUUUAUUUAUGUUUUUAUCAACUUUAUAUACCAAAAAAUGACAAAGAAUUGGACGGUUUAUACCGAUGGAAAAACGACAUUACUUCACUUUGUACUCCAAGAAAUCAUAAGAUCCGAAGGCAACGAACCGAAGGGCAUGUUAAGAAACUGAUGUGUUUUACAUGUAAUAAUACAGAAAAAUCCUUAUACUCGUAAAGGUACAUGUAACCUAAUAGAUUUGUGUCAUAACACUAUUGAAUAAACAUAUUGUUGAACAACAAAACUUAUAAACCCCAGAUGAAAUCGAAAUUCACAUUAAAUGGAGGGUUACAUACCUUUUGUAGAUCCCAAUGAAGCUGAUCAAAAUCUUCAUGUCUCUUGGAAAACCUAGCUCCAAUAGUAUGCGAGCCACUAAUGGUUCACACUCAAAACGCAAGAAACCCUCGGAUUGAAGGAGAGGGAAGAGAUGAGGAGAAUUUCGCUCUCCCCCUUAAGGUAUGAGAGAGCCACAGAUUUUGGAUGCCUAAGGGAUCUAUGUAUAAUCCAAGGUAACUUACACCCCGUUCCCAAGUUCAACUUAACGAGAGAAAGGAAAGGAAAUGAGUAGAAAUGAGAAGAAAAUAAAAGAAAUUGCUGUUCCCGGGUUUCAUUAAAGGAGGGAAAUGGAAAGAAGUGGAGGGAAAUGGGAGGAUCACUUUCCCUCCUAACUUUCCUUCCAAUUUGGGAGGAUUUGGAAAGAAAGAACAAAGUGAUUCAUUUUCCUUCCACUUCUCUCCAACUCGGGAACACAAAAGAAAAUUUUGUUUUCCAUUCCUUUCUCUUCUUUUCUCUCAUGAAUUUCCUUUCUCUUCUCUUCUUUUCUUUUGUUAAACUCAGGAACGAGGCGUUAGAGACAAAGAGAGAUCUAAAUGAUUAAAUAAUAUAUUAAUCCCAAUCUAAAUCAUUUCCUUAUUUACCAUUAGGAGGCUUUUGAAACCCUAAGAAUGGAUCCAAAACCAUCAUGAUAUGGACCAUUAUAGAAUUGUCUCUUUUGUUCAACUAUUGAACAAUUACCAUUCAUCCCUUGCACCUUUAAUUAAUUCUAAUUAAUCCCGAAUUAAUUUCAGAUUAAUUCUGAUUAAUAAUUAAUCAAUUAUUACCUUUUUCUAAUUAAUUUAUUAUUCAUAUAAUAAAUUAACAAAUCAUCAACUAACAAUUUCUAAUUAAUAUGUAAACACAGAAUUAUUAACAAAUCAUUUUAUCUCUCUCUCUUUUGAUCAAUCCAAGCCAUUUCUUGGUAAUGAGGGCAACCCAAAAGGACUUUACUUUUAUUCAUCAAAAUUAUACCAAUUUAGUUAGGAUCAUAGACACUUAAUCCAACGGUCUCCCAAUUGGAUAAGUUGCUAACUAUAAUUACAAGUACAACUCCGAAUAACCAGUAAAGAGUGUUUUCCAAAGACACUUCCAAACUCUGAUUAGACAUUGGUCCUAAGAUAAGUGAUCAUCUAUUCCUUCGUUCUACAAGAUAUUGUAUAGACACGAGACAUGGAUUAUGUGACAUCCCCAAAUUCACGGCCAGAAAAGACCGGUUUAAUUUAUGCUUUUAAAAUAAUUUCAGAGUAAUCCUUUGAUUAAAAGAGUUGCGGAAUUUGUUCCCAAAACGAAAUAUGAUAAAAAUAAGAUUUACCAAAGCAUUUCUUAAAGAAAUGUAUUUUCAUUAUAUAACAAAACUCGGGAUGUCAUAUUCCGAUACAGACCAAAAGCAUAAACGGCACAUUAUAAGCCUUACAACAGUUAUUUACAACUACUGGCCUAUAAUCCAAAAUAUCAUGAUAAGUCAUCCAACUUAUGCUCUGGUGCCACUACCUGUAAUACAAUGAAAAUCUGAGUGGUUCAGGCUUGGGAGCUUGGUGAGCAUAUAGGGAUUUCAACCCACAAUAAAAAAUUAUAUAAAUUUCAUCAACCAACAAUAACCCAAUUACCCAUUCCCGUUAUCCUCACUUUACGUCCCUAAAACAACUAUCACAAGGGACCUAGCCUAAGGAUUUUCAUCGGGGCGACAAGACAUGCUUCGAGGGUUCCUCAGCAAUAUAUGUCAAACAAGGCAACCAUGUGGAGGAUGGAGUACAGUAAAUGAACACUCAAGUUCAUUAACACCUAUAGGUGGCGAGCCUGCCAGCGUUCCACUAGACUGUCUAGAAAAGUUUGUGGUCGUCAUUUAAACUCCACUAGAUGACUGAAUCAGCAACAACAUCGAGGCCUCUCAUUGUUUUAUCACAAGCCAACUAUCUACCCAUGUUUUACCCAACAUUUUAGUAGAUAACAAUAUACUUAUACAUUCAUAUACAGCUUAAAACCUGUACAAAAUAUUCAUUCAAUACUCACUCCAAAUACACAGAUAAUAUAUAUACACAUAGCACGUAUUCUAUAGAGGAUACUUUAUACCUAUGUGUUAGAAGAAAGGGAUUAUACACUCUCUCAAACAUAUACUUAAUACAUUCAAACAAUACUUGUAUUAAAAUCGUGUUUAUGAAAGAGACUAUGCUAUCACAUGAUAAGAUGAUUGUCGGACAGCACUACGAAUCUUCAAGUAGUAAUUCUUCGAUGAAUCUGGGAUAUCUUCACACACCGGGCUUCUCGCGAGCAGAGCUUCGGGUCGAAAACUAUUUUCUUCUCGGGAUCUUAGGAGCAUCGGGACUUGCCUCGUGUGUCGGGAUGAUACCGGGGCUUCAGGGGUGCUUCAAGAGGGCUAGAGAGAGUAUUGGGAGUGAGAGAGUAAGAAAGUAGCAACCAAAAUCGGUUGUCCUUCGAUUUCUAUUUAUAGGGCUGAUUUUCUGGAUUCACGUCGUGAAUCUCAAAACUUCACGUCAUGAAUCUCAAAAAUUCACGUCGUGAGUUUGAUCUGGCAUAGGUCAUUGCGUUCGUCAUUAGUCCACUUGCUCUGGAAUAUGUCUAGCACCUGUUCACGUCGUGAACUCUGACACAGUGUUGGGGUUCGUGCCCCAAACUUUAGAAAUUCAUAUCUCUCGCAUACGAGUUCCGUUUUCGACGUUCUUUAUAUCCAUGCGUAGGUGAGAUUAUGCUCUACAAUUCUCAUUUAGACUCCAUUGGCUAAUUUUGAUUUUAACUUUUAUUAUAUUAUUUUUAGUAGGUCGGGACAGGAAAACUCAGUUAGAAAUUCAUAACUUCUUCAUCUGAUGUCCAUUUUCGUCUGUCUUUUUACCGUUGGACUACUAUCGACGAGAUCUUUGAUUCUUGUUUAGAUUGUUUUUGCUAGAAAUCACUUGAUCUCAUAUUCGAACUUUGGGUUGCAUAUUACUAAGUCGAAACUUAGAAAAAUCAUAACUUCCUCAUACGAAGUCAGAUUUAGACGUUCUUUUUAUGUACGUUCUCAGUUUAACGUAUUCUAUGAUUUUUGUUUAGAUCCCUAAGACUUAAUAUCAUUCUAUUGUAAACUCACUAUUUACAUCACGUAAUGUCGUAUCGGUUCUGUCGUGAAACUUCGACAAGUCAUAACUUCUUCGUUAUAACUCGGAUUUCGGCAUUCGUUAUAUAUAUCUGGAACCCUUGUCACAACCACUACAACUUCCUUCACAGAUAUUGGGUUUAUCUAAUAUUUUACUUUAAUGCUUAUUUUAUUCUUAAUUCAUUUAAGCCACACAAUUAUGCAUAAAACAAAAAAAUACUCAAAUAAUACAUUUCUAUUAUUUCAAAAUGAGUUACAAAGGUUAACCUAGACUAUUACAUCAAUAUUAAUGCUUAGCCUAGAAACACGGGCGUUACAAUUCUCUCCCUUGUAGGAUGAUUCCGUCCCCGAAAUCACACGUCAACAAACAAAUGCGGGUAGUGACUCAUUCAGCUCUCUGUAAUCAAUGCACAUUCUCAUACUCCCGUCCUUUUUCUUCACGAAUAACACCGGAGCUCCCCAGGGUGAUGAACUAGGUCUAAUGAAACCUUUGUCCAAUAACUCCUGAAGUUGCAUCAUCAGUUCCUUCAUAUCCGUUGGUGCUAGUCGAUACGGUGCUUUUGCUAUUGGCGUGCUUCCUGGUAAUAAGUAUAUUCUGAACUCCACUUGUCUAUCAGACGGUAAUCCAGGAAGAUCUUUGGGAAAUACUUCCAGAUAAUCACACACCACAAGAAUGCUCUUCAUCUCUUUUUUCUCCUUCUUUGCAUCAAUUACGAAUGCCAAAUAUGAUGUACAUCCUUGGACCAAACAUUUUCUAGCUUUCAUUAGAGAAAUGAUUCCAGAAUUUACCCUGCGUUUGUCCCCAUACACCAUAAAUGACUCUUUCCCUGGUGGGUUUACUUUUACUAUCUUCUUCUUGCAUGAUAUCUUGGCAUCCUUGGCGCUAAGCCAAUCCAUUCCCAGCACGAUGUCAAAACCGUUUAGCUCGAUAGGCAAUAAUUCCUUGUGGAACUUAUUCCCAUUCAAAUCAAUGAAGAUGUUUUUCAUAAGAUGGCUGAUAGGUAUAAACUUGCCACUAGCAACCUCGACUAUUAAAGCAUUAUCUAGUAUAUCAACAGGCAAAGCUAGUUUCCUACCAAAUUCAUGCGAAAUAAAAGGAGUAGUUGGCUCCAGAAUCAAAUAAAGUUUGGGCAGACAAUUCGUUUACUAGAAAGGUACCUAAAGCGACAUCAGCUUCAUCUUUCAUAGCUUCAAGUGUCAUCUGAAAGGCUCUCGCCUUCGGUUUUGGUGGAAUAUUGGGUUUUGCUGCCUCCUUCUUUUUAGGACAGUCUUUCAAAAUGUGCCCCUCUUCGUUACAUCCAAAGCACAUCCUCUUGUUGGACGGACACUCAUUGGCAUAAUGCCCAUUUUUUCCACAUUUGUAGCAGGUCGCCUCCUCACUACACUUCCCAGAGUGCUUUUUCUUGCACUUUUCACACCAUUUCACUUCGCCUCCAAACUUCUUCGAAUUAGACUUCGAAAUUUUGUUUUUCUUGCUACAACCCGAAGUUCCUUUAAACUUUCUCUUAUCACCAACUUUAACCUUGUUGGCAGUUCUUCCCUUGAUCAUGUCCUCAACAGACUUGGCAACCCAAAUAGUUGCCUCCAGAGUAGGUGUCUGACGUACUAGCACCGCGUACUCCCAUGGGAGUCCCUUUGCGUACCGGUCGACCUUUGUCAGCUCGUCUAGGACGAUGUGCAAGGCAAACUCCAUUAUUUCGGUGAAGAAAUUUGUGUAUUCAUCAACUGACAUGUUGUCUUUUGUCAAUGUCAGAAACUUGUUCUCCAACUCCAAUAGAUUUUGGGCCGAGAAGAACUUGCGCUUGAAUUGCACCAAGAACUCUACCCAAGUCAGUUGCACUGGCUCAUCAGGGCUUAGGGUCUUCCCCAGAGUGUUCAACCGAUGAACAGCACCACCCAUGAACUGACGUUCUGCGAAUGUGGUCUGCAACUUGCCUCUGCAACCACACGUCAUGAAGGCUAGCUCCAUUUCUGAGAUCCAAUCCAUAACUCCGAUCGGAUCCUCCUUUCCAGUGAAGGUCGAUGGUUUGGAAGUCAAAAAGUCUUUGUACUUGCGUCCAAGUCCAUCAAUUCCUCCCUCUUGGUUGUUUUGUCUAACCAACGGUGGGUUGGCUUGACCAUCAAUCCCACUGAUGUUACCUUCUUCUGAAUGCCCUUCAUUCAACUCAGGCUGUUCAAUCGACAUUGAAAGUUCUUCACGAUUCUGCUGAAACAGGCGUCUCGUUUCUUCCAUCUGAUGAUCCAACAUCGUUUGAAUCAUCAAUUUUACCCCAGCCAUUGUCAUUGGCUCAGGUGUUGCUGCUGCAAUAACCACUUGUUCAAUCACAGGUGGUUGAUUAUUGUUUUCAUUCACGUUUCCAACUCCACUUCUGGUUCUUACCAUUUUUUGAUCUACACACUGAAUAAAGUGAAUUUAGAUCCUCAAUCACGAUAGAUAAUUAAAUCAUCCUUAUCACUCUGAAAUGUUUACAUGCUAGUUCUAAUACCGUAAUCAUGAGCUUAGAAUCCUAAACACAUAAGGUUUCCAGAUCCGGUUGGCAACAAAUCGUAGAUCCGAACAAAUAAUAUCAUAUAUGGAAAACAUAUAACAUUUAGCACAUAAAACCAUUUUAGGCAACUUUCCUAAAAUAAACUAGUGCGCGUGUAUUAAAUAUAACAGACACUCAUCUCACAAUCUUCACUUAGCAUUCUAAGUUUAAGUCUAGAAAUCCUACAAAUUCCUAGUUCGCUUAAACUAAUGCUCUGAUACCAACUGUGACAUCCCCAAAAUCACGACCAGAAAAGACCGGUUUAAUUUAUGCUUUUAAAAUAGUUUUAGAGUAAUCAUUUGAUUAAAAGAGUUGCAUAAUUUGUUCCCAAAAUGAGAUAUGAUAAAAUAAUAUUUACCAAAGCAUUUCUUAAAGAAAUGUAUUUUCAUUAUAUAACAAAACUCGAGAUGUCAUGUUCCGAUACAUACAAAAGCAUAAACGGCACAUUAUAAGCCUUACAACAGUUAUAUACACUACAGGCCUAUAAUCAAAAUAUCUUAAUAAGUCGUCCAACUUAUGCUCUCGCGCCACUACCUGUAAUACAAAGAAAACUUUAAUACAUCGAUCCUUCGACAUGUGAGUUGUUGAAUUGAUGAUCUGUCUGUUCCGAUUAAGAGUUAUAGUUCUAUGCCAUGAGCCGAGUGGCUUAAGGAUUUGGAGUUGUAUCAAGGGAAGCACUUGGUAUUAUUGAGCUCAUUGAGAAUUCGGGAAGUGUUCAUUUGGUUUUGGAAUAUGCGUGAAUGGAUAUUCACUUUAUUCUAUCUCAUAGAUCUGAUUUGUUUUCUAUGAAAUACGUGUUAUGUGGUAUGCCUCAUCUGUUAUGUGGAAUAUAUAUUGAAUGAAAAUGAUAUACAGGUUUUAAACUAUGUAUGAAAAUAUAUAUUCUUAUCUACUAAUAUGUUGGGUAGAACAUGGGUAGAUAGUUGGUGUGUAAUAAACAGAUGAGAGGCCUCGAUGUUGUUGUUGUUGUUGAUCUAGUUAUUCAGCGGAGUAUGGAUAACGACCACGGACUCUUUCUAGACAGUCCAGUGGAACGCUAGCAGGUUCAUAACCUGUAGGUGUUGUGAACGAUGUGUUCACCGGUGUACUCUAUCCCCCUCAUGGUUGCCUUUAGGAUAUCUAUUGUUGAGGAAACCCCUUCGCAGUGAUGUCCGUCCCGAUGAAAAUCCUAGAUUAGGUCCCUUGAGAUAGUUGUUUUAGGGACGUAAAGUGAGGAUAACGGGAAUGGGUAAUCGGGAUAGUGAUUGGUUGGUGAAAUUAAAUAUAACUUAUUUAUUGUGGGUUGAAAACCCUAUAUGCUCACCAGGCUCCCAAGCCUGACCCACUCAGUUUUAUUUGUAUUACAGGAAGUGGCACAAGGGCGUAAGAUGGAUGGAUCAUCUUGUUGUUUUGUUUACAAGUCUGUAUAUGUAUAUAUUUGUUGAAUGACUUGUAAUGUUUAUCGUUUAUGCUUUAUGGUCUGUAUCGGAACAUGACAUCCCGAGUUUUGAUUAUAUAAUGAAAUGCAUCUCUUGAUGAAAUGCUUUGAUAAAUAUUAUUUUAUCAUGUUUUGUUUUGGGAACAAAUUCCGCAACUCUUUCAAAUCAAAAGGAUUUACUCUGAAAUUAUUUAAAAGCAUAAAUGAAAAUCGGUCUUUUCUGGCCGUGAUUUUGGGGAUGUCACAACAGCCUUUUACGACGCACAAUUUAUGAUACGCAUGGAUUUACGAUACGCAAAAGCGUGUGACCUAAAAAUAAUGUCAUCUCUCUAUAAAUUUUAAGGAUUUAGGACGUGCAUUUUUGCGUGCCCUUAAAUUAGUGUCUAAAAAAAGAAAAAAACAUGGACGGCGCCUAUAGUAAAAUGUGUGUCGUCUGAAGAUGUCGCUUUAUAAAUUUUAAUGGAAACGCGCGUUCCAUCAUUUAAUAGUUGGGGGAAAUCCUUUAAUAGUUGUAUGUCACCAGUCGGCAACCUUCACUCUCUCCUUUUCCUUUUCUCUGUAAACCCUAAUCCGCCUCCACCACUACCGAAUCUACCUCAACUUACCUCUGACCUUGGCUCAUCUCUUUCCAAUCGCUGCUAAUGAACUUAUUUUGUGUUUAAUUUGGGAUCAAAUCGCGAUUUUGUACACCGGAAGCCUAGAUGACAGGUCCGACGCGGCGGCGGCGCUUGAGCUUGAAAAUGGAUUGUAGAUAUUUUCAUGUUUCUUUUGGAUAAAAUAAGAUACCUUACCAUGUCAACCACAGCUUGACUAGAGAGAAAUUCAAACACUCCAUCACUAGCAAUCACAAAGAAAUUAAAGAUGAUCUGGAGUAAGAUCCAAUGCAACAAUUUCUGGAUUUGCUACAACACCAAUUAUCUCAGCAAUUGAAUCACCAAUGCUUCUUGUAAAAGUUGUUCCAGGGUACAUCCAUUUGGGACCCACAACCUGGGAGGAUCACCAUCAUCACCUUCUUCAGUGUCCCAACAUUGCACAUCUGGAUUCUUUAAACCUUCAAUCUGAUCCAAUGUAAGAACUCUUGCCCCACAUAAUCUAACGCUUUCAAGCUCAUCUUCUCUAAAUGGAGUUUGAUCUAUUGACAAAUCAAUUGCCACAAUUUCUGUGCCCCCUUUUUUCAGCUAUAAUAGCUCUUGAAUCACCUGAAUUAACAACAUUUUCCAGUGGAACAAAAUCAUAAAUGACAAGGUUAACCAAUUUUUAAACAACCUAAAGAAAGAAAACCUAAUAUGAUUCUUGUUAAUGAUAUCCAAUUUGAAGCUAACUUUUAUGUUUGGAUGGAACAGGUGACUAAGCAUCCUAUGGCCAGCAAGGAUGAUGAAGUGGCAUUUAUAUAUUCUGAACCAGAUCCUCCUAGUUUCCUUUGGCAGGUAGUAAUUAAUUAACACUCUUAAUUUUUAAGACCUUAAUUUAUGAAUCUCAUCAUUAUUUGAUUCUCUUAAAAACAGGCUUCUACAAUGUUUAAUGAGUGGUGUCGGAUACGUGAUCGCCAUGGUGUCAACGAUGUAGCUAGUGCUCAUUUUGUUCAUCAAAAUGUAUUGACAAGAGCUGAUGAUAUGCCAAACUGCUUUUUUCGCCGCCUUAUGGUGAUUCUGAUAACUCAUGUCCCUUGUCCUUUACUCUCAAACACACACGCAAUUAUAAGGAAAAAAACCAUAUCUUGAUCACUUGUGAUAUUAUUAGGAGCUUGGCAUGUCACACUAUCUAUCUUCUUAAGGGACCAAUGAAGAAGCAAAUUUAUCAUCUUUCCUUACGACAACCAAAUGGCAGCUAGAUCUGGUGAUGCUAAAGUGUUGCAGCUUCAUCAUCGCCUUUAAAAAAGCCAUCAAAUCAAUCAUUACAUCCUCCAUCAUCCAACACCAUAAGACCAAUUAGUCAAGACCAAGUAGUACCCAAUUCUAGUGGUCAUUUAAACACAAUGUUACCCCAUAAUCAAUAUCAGAUGCCACCUAUCCGCCAGUCAGCUUCACCCCCUGCUCAGAUGCUAACUUAGCAAAAACAAACUAUACAUGCAGGUUACCAGUCGUCUCAAUAAGCCUUCUCACAGCUUCAACAACAACUGCAACUGCAAGUGCAACUUAUCGCACCUCAGAAGAAUCUUCAACCUACUGUUCCUGCCAUCCUUGAAAUGUAACUAGACUGAGCAGACGUCACCUGAUGGAUAUAGGUACUACAACAAUAGUACAACUAGCGAAAGCAAGGUAAGUUUUAUCUAUUUAUUUAUUUAUUUUAAAUAGAUUGAUAUGUUGAAAUACAUACAUACAUACAUACAUACAUACAUACAUACAUACAUACAUACAUACAUACAUAGCAGUGGGAGAAAUCGGAGGAAUUGGCUUUGUUUGAACAACAACAUAUGCCUCAAGAACAACAACAACAACAACAAAAGAAACAAAAACAACACAAAACUCAGAGUCUUUCACACAGUCAAGGACAUCAGCAAACACAAACUCUCACUCAAGGUGUGCCACAUCAGCAAACUCAGAUUCCACAGUUUCGGAAUCAUAUGCAACUCCAAGCACAUGGGUGACACCCUCAACACUUGCAAAAUCUCGUUUAAGUUAUUUUUAAGAUCAUUUGAUUUGAGUUUGUUUGUCUGAACAUGUGUACUAUUAAUAGGGCCACCUCUUGAAAUUAAGCUCAGACCUUAAAGCAAGUGAAAUCGAAUAGCAUUAACAGGGUCACCUCUUCAAAAUAAACUCCAUUAUGUUGUUUAUUAAUAUAUGAUUUUGAAGAUAUCCUUUACUAAAAGGAAACAACAAGUAAGAUCAUGAUUAAUACAUAUAUACACAGUAAAAACAUCAAAACUUUCAAAGUUAUCACAUUCUAGUUUGUUUUUAGUUAGUUUUUCUCAUCGGCACAGUAAUGGAAGAGAAAAUUAAUACAAUGUUACUAUGUAUAUAUGUAUUAAUCAUGAUCUUACUUGUUGUUUCCUUUCAGUAACAGAUAUGAGUUUCAAUUUGGUUUCUCCUGAGUUGGGAACUACUUUCCCUUCAUGUAGCCAAAGAAUUAUACCCUUCGUAGUGGGAAUUUUGAGAUCCAAUCCAGCACAGAGCCUCAAAUUUUUUGUAUUAAUCAUGAUCUUACUUGUUGUUUCCUUUCAGUAACAGAUAUGCAUGGCAGACAGCACUCCAACAGGUUUGACUAUAUUCUUAUACGUUUUGACGUUCACAUUCCCAUAUUGAUCUUGAUAUUAUUGUUUCUACUUCCAUGCUAAGUUGGCUUUUAUUUGUAAUAUAGGAGGUCCAAAAUCUUGAGAAAAAGGCUGCAGAAACUGUAGUGUUGGUAAUUGAUGAUGAAUGGACUGAGUAUUUGAUAUCAGAACUUCUCAAGUUGCUUCUAUUUCCAUGUUGAGUUGGCUUUUUAUUUAUCUUACUGUUUAUUAUCAUUUUUAUAUAAAACCUAAUCAUUUAUAUUAUAUAUAAUACAUUACAGGAUGCCUAGGAAGCACUGUCUAUAUUUGUUAAUUGUUACAAGAUAUAAUUCAAAAUUCAAUUUCCACAUUCUGUUGCUGAAAUGACCAAUUAGUUUUGGCCUACCAAAGAAUGCAUUCGCUGCUCUAAUGAAGAACGUGAGUGUUUAUUUUUCUUUUCUGUUUGGUGAAAAUCAUCAAAUGACAAUCUCAUUAUAUAUCUUAGGAUCUUAUCAAUUAAUGAACUUGAUCGUGGGUUUGAUCAAGCACAAGUUUACAUUUCUACCCCUGCUUUUAUCUUUUAUCUAUUGUGUUAUACAAUUGUAUUUCCCCUUUUUUAUAAGGUUAAUUUGGUGGUUAAUUAUGAUAUCCCUAUAAGACAUGAUCAUCAAUCUCAACCUGACCAUGAAGUGUACUUGCAUUGAAUCAGAAGAGCAGGGUGAUUUGGGCGUAAAGGUAAUUGUUUUUUUAAUAUAUUUUUUUGGAAAGAGGAUUCUCCCAUAACGGGUGUUGUCUGGGCCAGCUUUGAAGCUAAAUGGCCACAAGAGUGUAGUAAUAAAUGACUAUAUAAAUAGUUUAUAAUGUAUGUGACAGGAGCUGUAUUCAACUUGCUAUCUGGUGAAAGGUACAACAUGAUCAUGGAAAGAAUUGAGACACAUUUCAACCAUUAUGUCACUGAGGUAAAAAAAAUUAUACACAUUCCAUGGAAAUAUAUCUAAAUAAUUUGCAGAAUGUGUAGUUAAUUUGAUUACAUAAUUGUAGGUGACAUCAUGGACACAUGAUGAAUAGUUUGAGGAUGCGUUAAGAAAAGUUGGUUAGAUGUAAAGUUUUAAAUUUUGGACCUUUUAUGAAGUUGGUUUAAGUUAUUUACUAAACUGCAAUGGUUUUUGUGUUGUUUGGGUGGGAUUUAUAUUUGUUGCAAAAGUUGGGAGUUAUAAAGAGUCAAUUAUGCUUCAUUUCUAUCAAAAGCUAAAAAUCAGAAUUUAUCAUUUAAAAGGAAAUUAAACAAUUUCAUUGAUUUAUAUUCCAAUUUAAAGGUUGAGUUGUGUUUUGUUGCAAGAUACCAUCUUCAUGGUCUAAAGGUUAGUGCACUACUAAAAAUGUUUUUAAUUUAAAAUAUUGAUUUAGUAAAUCACUAAAUUGGUGAUUUAUACCUUUUAAUCUAUACUUUUUUAUAAAAUUCAAAACCCUAAAACUGGUAUUGGAUGUAUUUAGGAUCAUUUUGGAUGUUGAUUAUAUAUUCCAUUAUGUACUUGCAUAUCACAUCUCUGAAUCCUAUGUAGAAGAAGUGUCAAUUUUAUAUGUGGUGUUUAUCUCCACAUAAAAACCCUAAAAUAUGGAUGUGCUAAAGCUAAAGAAAUUACAAUGCACAUACUGGAUUUUAGCAAGUCGGAUAAGUUUAAAAUUAUCUUAAUAGGAUAUUGAUUAGAUUACACUACAUGUAGUGUAGAAAAUAUGAUGAAUAUUUAUGAUCAAUAUUCAACUUUUGAAAAUGUAUCCAGUUUGAUAUUUAUCUGUUUGACAUUUUUUUUGACAGAAAAUAAGAACACUGGAGAAGACGAACCACAAAUUGACACUGGAAUGAUCAAUGGAAUUAUUGAAGCCCUUCAGGUAUCAUCUCAUAUCACUUGCUUAUGAAAUUUCUUCAUCUAUACUUGAAAAGAUAUAUUGAUUUUUGUGUUGUCUCCAGGCCAUCCCUGAUGUAGUUCUCAGCACAACAGUUAUGAUUUUGUGAUGUUAGGCUAAACUAUACAGAAAAUCAUUAUUUGUUUUCGGAAACGUUUCAGCGUUUCUUCAGACAGCUUAAUGAUGAGUUACUGAAACAAGAAGGUGCCUCUUUAUAGCAAUGUAGUAUUAGGUUAUACAGUUAGGGAAAACCAAUUAGUAACAAUGUACAAUUAGAUCCCCUUAAUAUCAAUGUAUUAUAAUUUUUUGUCAUGAUGUUAUUAUAUGAAAUUGAUUGCUUUGGUAUAUAUUUGUUUACAUAUUUUUGUAUUAUGCGUAAAUGAGUAUUGUAAAGACGCAUCGUAAAUGCAUAUUGAAAAUGGUUACUGAAGUUUAUGACACGCAAAUGUGUGUCAUCUUCAUUUAUGACAGGUAAGGAUGAGCGUAGGCAGGUACCCACCUCAUUUGGCGAGAACCGGAACCGGCGGUUCCUAGAAAGUUAGAACCAAAACCGGAACCGCACUAGGCAAUUCUUAAAUGUUUGGAACCAGUCCCAGAACUGGCGGUUCCGGUUCCGGGAGCGGGUAACCCGGUCGCAUUAAUUUUGUUAAUUUUUUGACAAAACCGCAAUUUAGUUCGAUCCAAAUCAAAACAAUUCAGACCAAAGACAGACAAAAUUGAACCAAUAUAUUUUAAACUGGUCUAAGAAAUACACAUUUAUAUGAAAUUAUAUAUAUAUAUAUAUAUAUAUAUAUAUAUAUAUAUAUANUUCCGAAAAAAUGAGAAUUGGAACCGGAACCGCUUAAGGCGGUUCCAUAACUUUAGGAACCGGAACCGGAACCGUUUAAGGCGGUUCCAGUUCCAAAACCGGCAGUUCCGAGGUGGUUCCGGUUCCAAAAGUGGGUACCCGAUUCCGAUGCUCAUCCCUAAUGACAGGGGCCUCCUUGAUACGCAUUGCGUGUCAUAAACACGCGCGUCAUCUUCCUUUAUGACAAGGCCUUCCUUGAUAUGCAUUGUGUGUCAUAACUGCGCGUCGUAAAUGCAUGUCAUAAAUGCGCGUCGUAAAUGUGCGUCGUAAAUAGACGACGCGCAAAAGCGUGUCGUCUCUCGUUAUGAUAGGGCCUUCCUUGACACGCAUUUGCGCGUCGUCUGAGGGUUUUACGACAUGCAUUGCACGUCGUAAAAGGCUGUUUUUCUAGUAGUGCAGGAGUAUGUUGGGCAUACUCCAUCCAUAUACAAACCCUAAUUUAGGGUCUUGGACUCUAUUUAAUGGCCUUAAAUCAACUCCAAACCCUAUUACCUUCAACCUCCAUCCCACGAAACCCUAGCCUCCAUUGGUGUGAUUCUUGAGUUCUUGGGGUGAUUUUAUGUGUUUUGGUGCUCAUUUAAGAAGAAGCAGCUUCUUCAAGGAGUAUUAGAUUGCUUGAAGCUUGUGGAUCCAGACUUUGUGCAUCUUGAUCUAUCUUCUGGAGGUAUAAAGCUUCAAACUUUAUGGUUCUUUAGUGUAGAUCUAGUGAUGGGAAUGGUUAUAAGCAUGUUUGGUCCCAAGAUUGUGGUUCUUGUGAGUGGAAGCUACUCCAGGACCUUUGACCCUUAUAUUUGGUCUUGUUAAGGUUAUUAAGUCAUCAAAAUGUCAUCUUGAUGAGUUAUCUUGGCCCAUGCAUGAGUUAGAGUUAUUCUUAUGGUUAUUUUUUGGGUCUUGGGCCCCAUUAAGUCAUUAAAUGGUGUAAAUUUGCCAACUUUACGUGUUAAGACACCAUUUAGGAUCAGAUAUGAUAGUUUAGCUUAGUGGCUUAACCGAUUAAGUGCGUAAUGGAAAGUUUGGUUGUCUGUAGGGUAUGCUGGGCGUACUGGCCCCAAAAGAAGUAUGUUGGGCGUAAGUUUGAGUAUGAUGGGGGUACUCAUCAGCUUGAAUUUUGUUGACUUUUACAUUUUGGGCCAUUUCUGGACUAUUAGGGUUUUGGGUCUUGGUGGUCCAAUAGUCUUUCCGACUUUGGGACAUUAUUAGGCUUUGGAACUUCUUCGAUUUAGAUCCAUAAUGGGUUUUGGGCCUCAGUUAGGAGUUUGGGGUAUAUUGGGAUUUUGGGAGCUAUUGGAUUGGGCCUUGGUUUUUGCCAAGUGAGGAAAGGGUCAAUGGUCUUUUACCCUGGGAGUGGACAAAUGAAUCAGAUUCCUAGUUAUGGUUAAGGCCUAAUUAUUAAUUGGGUUUUAUUUUAUUGAUUAGCGCGGGGAUUAUCCGGAUCAGCAGUGCUGAUCCGGGAGGUUAUCAGGUUUUUCAGCGGUUUGAGGUGAGUUUCAUCACUGUGAUUGGCGAAUCGAAGGCACCAAUGUAGGCCCAUGGUUUAUUAUGAUUAGGAUGCUAGUUGUCUGCGUGACUCUUGCAUGUAUGAUAUUUGAUAUGUAUAUCGGACGGGGCCCGAUGCUAUGCGGGGCCUGAUGAGUAUAUUGUAUGUUAUUUAUCUUUGUGAUUCGUGCAUGUGUUUAUAUGUUUAUAUGUUUGUAUGUAUAUCAGGUGGGGGCCGUUUCCAAGCGGGACCUGGUGAAUGUGUUGAGGCGGGACCCAUCUCAUGUUAUCGACAGAUCUGUUCCGAGCGGGGCCCGAUGUUGGGUGGGGCCAAAUGGUUGUUGGGCAUGGCCCAUUGUAUGUUUGAUAUUUAUGGUAUGUGGUUUUUUGGGAAAUUCACUAAACUUUGUGCUUACGGUUUUAUGUUUAUGGUUUCAGGUACUUGCGAUACAAAAUGGAAGGGUCGGUGUGACCGCACUACAUCCACCCAUCUUUCCGCAACUUAAUUUAUGAUUCUAGGAUUUUACUCUGAUAACCAUUUUUACUUUGAUAUAUUUUUGAAUGAUUGAAAAGGCCAAAUGGUAUUUAUAUGUUGAAUUUAAAACAAAAUUUUUACCUUACAAUUUUUGCGAUUGUUAUAUAAUGUAUACAAAUAAACUUAAAUGGUCAAUUAUAUACAUUGUUGAAAUUUUGUUACACUUACAAAUCAUUACCCCUUCUUAAAAUGGACAAAAGUAGUUCUUGUUUUUUUUAAAUAACAAUUUUUUAUUUGACUAAUAAGUAACACCCUUAUAUUGGUCUUAUAGUUUUUGGCCAUUUAAAUAAAAAAUAAAAGUUUUAAAAAUAAAAUAAAUAUAAGCAGAUAAUAAGUUUUAUAAAAAUAAAAUAAAGAAUAUGUAUAUGAAGUUUAAAUGAUAUAUAAGAUGGAAUAAUGAUAGAAGAAUAAAUAAUUGGAUUUUUGAAGAAAAUAUGGAUCAAUGGACUAAAGUUUUCAUAAUGCCAAACUUGCAAGGGUUAGUGUUGACUUGAUCAAUGAUCGUUAAUUUAUAAAGUAUGAGUUUUGGGUCUUAAGUGUGAGUCUUAAGACUUUCACUAAAAGUCUUAAGUAUAAUGGUGAUCGAAGUAUGAGGGAAGGAACUUAAUAGUUAAUUGUGACAAAUGAUGAAAGAUAAGAUGCUAUACACCCUCCUCAAUUCAACAAUAUUCAACAACGAGAGUGGCUAUUGAGAUAAUUGGCGAUUUAGAGGGUUAAAUGAAGAUAUAAGAUAAACUUGAUGAAUAUCAUACUAAGGUAUCAAAAUGGAUCUUAUAAGGUAUAACCUUUUACCUUGCCAUCUAAUUUUCGAUCUAGGGUUUGGUUAUUAGUCAAAUCCGAAUUUUUUUGAUCAAAAAUGUUUUAAUUUUCAUUGUGAUGUUUGUUUAGUUAGUGGAAGUUAUUGGCAUGUACAAUGCCACAGGGAGAAGCCUCGAGGAUGUCUUGGGAAGCAUUUAUGGAGCAGUUGAAAAUGUAGUACUGCUCGGAGGUAGGUAUGAUUGACCUAAACAACGAGUUUCAAAACCUGAAGAAAGGGAAUAUGAAUGUUGAUGAUUAUGCCAGGGCAUUCACCAAGAAUAUGAAAUUAUUCCCCUACUUGGUGCCUAAUUAACUCUCCAAGAUAAAGAGGUUUGCUAACGGAUUGCUAGCGGACUUUGGCCCAACGGUCAAAAUGGAAACUACUUUGAAGAUAGUCGUUAGAGCAGCCAAUAAUGUAGAGACCCAACUUCGGGAGAAGGGUAUGGAGAGGAAGGAGGCAAGAGAGAAAAGGAAGUUUGAUGGAUCUUUAAGGACCAACAAUAAAAAUAGGUUCUCGAAUUCUGGUUCCAAGAAGUUUGGAGGAGGAAGAGGUGAAGCAAAAUGGUGUAUGAAGUGAAAAAAGAAGCACUCUAGGAAAUAUGGUGAGGAGCUAACUUGUUUCAAAUGGGGGGAAAUUGGUCAUUACGCCAAUGAAUGUACAUCCACACACAAGAUGGAAUUCUGUGUGGAACUUAUGGGGGUCUUCAUUUUCUAGCCCUCUAAAGGUUGGGAGUAAAUGGAUGAGGCUGGAUUUUAGUUCAAGAUUGGUUGCAACAGGAUAUGUGAUAUAAAGAGAUUGUUGAGUAAUCUCAUGCCUCGCCUAUUGGCGAAGGGUUUUCUUGGGUGGGUUUGGUGGACCAUGGUUUUUAAUGUUACCUCCUUGGUCUCCCAUGGUAGGAGUAUUACUUAAGGUUUCGGUGGAUGUAUGUUAUUCGUUAUUGUGAGUGGGUGAGGAAGGUGGUGUGAUAUUUGUAGGUGAGGAUGUUUGUGGUGAGAGUGAGAGAGUUUCUGUUUCGGACGCGGAUAUACUUAAGAGGGUUAUAUCCUCCUAAAUGUUGAUGAUUGGUGGGGUGGAUGACGAAUAAGUCCCGAAACCUGGUUGCCUCUUACGAAGCUUGUCUUGCUUCCGUAACUUUUUUGCAAUUUUCUCUAUCUCCGUGUCAAUUGGCAAUGGUGUACCUGUACGAAAAAAUAUAGGCGUAAACAAUUAGUAACACCGUGUCCCCGGAAACGACGUUAAUAUUUUUGGGUGUGUCAAACCCAACAAAUAAAGGGGUACAAAAUGACUCCAAAAACACUGUUACUUUGCACUAAAAGAAUAGUACAAGAUAAGAAAGGUUGAUCCACAGAGACACAAGAUUAACGUCUAUACCUCUUGGCGUAAGGUACUUUAGUCACAAAAAAUGGGAGAGUUUUGUAUGCAGUAAUCCAAACAAAUGAUUAGAGAAAUAUGUAAAUGUUUAAUGCUAAAUUCAUUCAUUGAAACUCAGUUUAGUGUUUGUUACUUAGUCUAAUUCACAAAACAAUUCAGCUGGGUUUUGCAAUUUAGAUAACUUGAUUGACCUAACCCCAAUUCAUACGGCCAAUAAGAAAUAAAAUUAGAAUGAAACAUUCGGUUGAAACAAAAACAAAUUCACUAUAUAUAAAUUGAAAUAAAACAUCAAGUCACAUGAUUGAAAUCAUAACUAAAAAUUCAAGACAUGAAGUUGGAGAAACUAGGGUUCUAGCCACACAUGACUAGAACAAAAUCACACGUCUAUAAAACGAAAUUAAAGUGCUUACAAAAUGAAAUCAAAUGUUCCUAAGUGUUAAUCAACUCCAAAAUUCUCCAUAAAAUCACCCAAAUUACUCCCAAAGUUAAUAAAUGGAAAAAUGAAGUCGACUGUCACUUUUUAGAAAAGAUGAGAAACUACCACUAAACCCACGUCUUCUUUUCCACGACCCGUGGAAAUUUACACAGACGUUUCCACGACCUUUGGAAAUACAGAAAGUUGGAUGCUGAGUUGGGUCGAGGCUUCAAAGUAUGUUGUUGGAAUAGGUUCAUUUCCACGGCCCAAGGAAAUUCGAGGCUAAAAUUUCCACGACCGUGAAAGUCUCUAACUACGGGGUUUCUUCAAUUUUAUGCAACUCCUUCCUCUUUGAUCUGAAAGUCAUGGAAUCUUGUCCGCACCUUCUAGUUACCUCCCUAAGUGAGAUCCCACCUCUAAGAUUCCCUAAAAUAUCACAAAAGUGUGUGAGUGAAAUAAUAUCAUGAAAUAUCCUAAAAACAUGUAAAAAAAUGUAUGGACUUAAGCCUAAAUGCAAUGUAAUGAUAUGAAAUAAAAGUGCAAAAUAGUUGCAUAAAAUUCACCUAACAAUACUCAUAUUGCUAUAGUAUUUAGUAUGAUCCAAAGACAUAUCAAAAGGCCAUGGAGUCUCGAGAUGUCGUCUUUUGGAAGGAAGAGGUUGAUGACGAAAUGUCAUAAAUACUUGAGAACAAUACAUGGGUGUUGUCAAAUUUGUGUCCAGGUUUUAAACCACUUGGUUGGAAAUGGAAUUUCAAAAAGAAAAUGAAUAUUAAUGGGACUACUUACAAGUACAAAGCUCGGUUGGUCACUCAAGGUUUUAAACAAAACUCGAUGUUGACUAUUUUGAUACGUAUGCUCCAGUUGUACCUAUUUCUACUAUUAGAUUAUUAAUUUAUUUGGCAAGAAUUCAUAAUAUGGUUAUCCAUCAAAUGGAUGUCAAAACAACCUUUUUAAAUGGUAAAUUUAUGAAUAAGUUCACAUGAAACAACUAGAAGGUUUUGUUAUGCCCGGUAAAGAGCAUAUGGUAUGUAAAUUGGUAAAAUCUUUGUAUGGGUUGAAACAAGCACCCAAACAAUGAAAUCAAAAGUUUGAUGGGGUUAUUUUGUCUUUUGGUUUGAAGUUAAACUAGUGUGACAAAUGUGUUUACAGAAGAUUCAAUGAUGAUACUGGUGCAAGAGUGAUCAUUUGCUUGUGUGAAGAUGAUAAGCUGAUUUUUGGUACUAACCAAGAACAAGUAGAUGAAACAAAACAAUUUUUAUCAUCUAAGUUUUCCAUGAAAGAUUUGGGAAAGGCGGAUGUGAUUCUUGGCACGAGAAUUAAAAUGGUGAAUAAAGGUUUAGUGAUGACUCAAAUUCACCAUAUUGAGAAAAUUCUCAAACGGUUUAAUUUCAGUUGUUGUUCUCCUGUGAGUACUCCCAUGGAUUCAAGCAUGAAUUUAAUGCUUAAUAAUGGCAUUCUUAUUUCACAAUUGGAAUAUUCUAAGCUUAUUGGUAGCUUGAUGUAUACAAUGACAAGUACGAGGCCUAUUAUUGCUUAUGCAGUGGGAAAGUUGAGCAAGUACACUAGUAAUCCUAGUGCUCAACAUUGGCAAGCGGUGUAACACCUCGAAUUCAGAAGACCUAAAAAGGAAAGAAAAACCUCAAAAUCAGGAAGUGACUCGUCGAGUUGAUGGGAUGACUCGACGAGUAGGAGCGUGUUUUGGGUCGCGGGUAAAGUGACCUACUCAACGAGUUAGAGGACUGACUCGGCGAGUUGGUCAAGGUUUGGGAAACCCUAAAUACGGUCCUUGUACUCUAUUUAAAGGACAUUAUAACACUCAAUCAACCUCCUUAAUGCUCUCUCAAGACCAAAAUGGAACCCUAGUGCCUUCCAUGAGUUUGUGAGCCAUUGUGAGCAUUUUUGAGUGUUGUGAAGCUUGAAGAAGAAGGUGAAGCCUUGGGGAUAUAAGAAGAGAUUAGUAGAUCCAAAAACCUCUUGCAUUCUCCUCCAUUUUCUGGUAAGAAAGCUUCCACCUUGAUCAUUAUGCAUGUAGAUCUCUUCUUUGUCACUUUUGGGGUUUUUUGGUUCAAGAACCCUAGCAUGAGAGGAAUGGACGUCCCAAGGGUUUGAGUUUUUAGAUCUAACACCACUAAGGGUUGUUAUGGCAUAAAGGUGCAAGCUUUAUGCCAUAGGAAUUCCCAUGCAGGUAUAUGAGGUGUUCUUUUGGCCUUUUUAGCUCAAAAGGCCAUGAAUGGAGGAAAAAGGCAGUAACUUUGCAUGGUUAUGAGGUGGUUGGGUCCAGAUCUAUGUUUUGGAUGCUUUGAGACCCUCAGAAAUCAUCUGAAUAGAUUGGGACGUAGAGGGACUCGGCGAGUCACUUAUGGGACUCGGCGAGUCAGACCGUUUUCUUGCCCCAAAACCCUUCUGUUAAAGCAUAUGAAUUGAGUUGGUAAGGACUCAGCCAAUCUGGGUCCAUAGUGGACAUGAAAAUCAUCAUACUCGACGAGUUCAAGGAGGAACUCGGCGAGUCUAAGGAAAUCUCCUUAAUUUAUGAAGGUGGACUCAACAAGUUCAAAGAGGAACUCAACGAGUCAGAUGAAGGAGGGUCCCGAUGUGCUGAAGGUGCACUCGACGAGUUCAUGGAGAACUCGACGCGUAGGAUCGAAGUCCAGAGCUUUGUGUGGAUUGCGGGACUCGGCGAGUUGGUGGGUCAACUCGGCGAGUUGGGUUAACUCGGAGCAUUGACUUUGACCAAGUUUAAUAUGGUUUGACUUUUGAGGGUAUUGUGGUCUAAGUGUUAUUUUGGGUAUUGACAGUUCGGGAAGCUGAAGGAUCAAUAGUUCAGGAGUUGUCGGAUAGCAGUCAGAAGUGCUCAACUAGUCUUCAACAGUGCAAGGUGAAUCUCCUCACUAUUUGUAUGGGUCUAAGGCACCAAUUGAUGGGUUUUGGUCAUAAGACAUCCUAUGUGCUCAUACAAACCCUAAAGCUCGGAUCUAGGUUUCUCUAUUGUACAUGCUUUGAAUCCAAGACUAUAAACCCUAAUUCUAGCAUAUGGAAAUCAGAAUUCACAUGUAAAUAGGUUUAAGAACAUACGUUGAUUGUUAUAUAGCAAUAACAAUCCAAUUCCUCCUUGAAUUGACCUUGGAAAGCUAAGAGUCACAAGUGUCACUCCUCUAAUGGCUUACAAACACCAUAAGCAAGUGGAGAAGGUAUAAAGAGAGAGGAGGGAGGUUAGAAUUCGUCCUUAGAUCCUCUUGGGAAGAAGUACACGAAUUCUAAGGCCUUGGGGGUCUUUAUAUAGGGUUAGAAUUAGGUUUUCAGUCCUUAUCCUUAUCUAGUUGCUUGUCCACCAAGCAACCAUAAGAUAACUCUUAGAAACCCUUAUCCUAGUCGAAUUCUAAGUGAUUAUCACCUCAAAUUCGUUCACCAUAUAUAUAAGAUAAUCCUUACCUUAUUUUGUAACUAUCACAUAAUUACAAUUCAGCCCCUCUAGUUUAAUUAAUUACACUUGAUCACAAAAUUAAUUCUUAAUUAAUUAUUGACCAAUAUUAAUUAAACAAAUAUGAUUUCUCCUUUAAUAUAUUAUUAUUAUAACAUAUUAAUAAAUCAUAAUAACCUCUCUCUCUUUAUUUAUUUCUCCAAUCAAGUUGCUUUGGUGAAGGCAACCCAAAAGGACCAUGCACCAUCGGGUCAAGUACAUACCAAAAUAGUUAUGGACUUAGACACUAAUCCAACAGUCUCCCACUUGGAUAAGUCUAACAACUAUUCUGCGUAUGACUUCGGAUCCCGAUCUGCAAUCGUAGCUUUCCAAAGCCGCUGUCAACUCUGAUCAUAUCAGAUACGCGUGUCCUUAGAUAAGGGAUCAUAUAUUCCUCCAUUCUAGAUAUCAUAUGAGAUAUGAUUUCAAAUCAUUCUCUUUGUACUAUAUCUCGAUUUCCGAUUUAUGACGACUGACUAAUUGAACAAAUCAAAUUAGCCCUAGCCCGGCCGAGCAUUUACGUUUGUCAUCACUAAACCAUCGAGGGGCCCAAAGAUAUCGCUUUUAUCCUACUUUGGAUAAAAGGAACGGAUAAACUUUGAUACAAUGCUUGCUUGCACUCACUCACCGAAUCACACACAACAAUAUGUUUUAUAACACCAAGUUACUAGUGCGUUUACAUAUUAUCAAUGUGCAACCGAUUUGCAAGAUACAACUCACACAUCUCGGUUUCAAGAAUAUAAGAUGUUAUCGUCUCACCAAUCACUCGUGAUACAAUUCAUGGAGUGAUCCAAGUGAGCGUGGGUUUAAUCCAAUGCUCAAAUCACAUUCAUAAGCACUCAUGAACGUUGCAGCAAACAUUUGCUUAUGUCUAAUACUCUUUUAGACAAUCCACACACCAAUUCACGACAGUCUUCAUUCAUAUCUACUUCCAACAUAUGAACGACUGUGGCCCGUUUGAAUAAUUCGAUUAUUCUUAAUAAACUCAAUUAUUCUGGAAGUCAAAACAUGCAAAUGUGAAACACAAGAAUAAUACUAAUCCCAUAUGGCCUCAAACCUUUGAGUAUAAAUAAAACACCUUUUAUUUAUCACCAUAUUGAUUACUCAUUAUUUGUCGUUUCGGGUAAUCAACUUCUUACUUGAAUUCCAACACUUGUCCCAUGCUCCUAGCAUGCACACAAUGUUUACCUAUGGUUCUUACUUUGUGAAAUAGAUCACAUUGAACACAUUUCCAAUCCUUCUCAUUUCACAACUCCAAAUCCGUUUUUCAUAAGUCAAAGAAUAUCAAAUUCUUGCUACUUAUAGAAUAUGCUAGAUUCUAACAUUCUAUGCAACUAUCCUUUCGUAAUGUCACUGCACCAAAGUCACAAAGACUAUUGCCAAUGAUAUUACAAAGUCCUCUAUCGGAGAUUGUUACAAGACAAUUCCAUAGACGUGAUGUCUCUCACUCAAAGUACAUUCUUUGAACAUCCUUUUGCAUAGAAGUUUCUAAUCUAGUCAUAGAUUUCUCAAUAUUCAAUUCCCAAUAUGGACACACUUCCAUAUGUUCCAUAUGACAACUCAUUCUUAAUAGAAUCUUAUCUAUUCGUAAUGAUGUCGAUAUGGUCCAUCCAAUAUGGAAACAUUUCCAUAUUUUCCAAUACUAUACUUCCAACUACUCACAAGCGACCAAUCCUCGUCGAACUUUGGAUUGUCCUUUGAUAGUUGUUUAAUUAUUUUAGUCAAAACCAAUUCUAGUCCCUUUUCCCUCUAAAUGCGCUCGACAUUUGGAAAAUUUUAGAAUGGUCAAACAUUAAAGCAUUUGCAAUCGAUCCUAUACCCGAAGCGUAUGGGACACGACGCAUAAUGUUUUAUUUGCUAUGUUCUCAAAAUUCGAAUUGUGAAGAGGGAUGCCGUAAUCAUAAUCGAAAUUUUAAGAACACACUAUGUACCUUUGACUAAAUUUAUUAACAUUUCUCAACCUAAUCCUUUAGAUUUGAAAUGAAGCAUAAUAUUCUCUCCCUUAAUUAUAGCAAAACAACUAUUCCAUCCUUACAACUUUGCAAAGUAUGACUCUUGUUUUCUAUAAUUAAUAUUGCCAACUUGCAAUACUUUCCUUAAUAAUCAUACAAUCAUAACAUUUAUGCUCCCACUAUCAUGAUGAUUAUUAUAAAACAUAACACUUAUGCUCCCACUAGCUUCGACAUGUAUUCAUAAACAUCUUAACUUUCAGAAAAACAAUACUUAUUGAAUUUCUUAAGUUCAUGUUUCUAAUACUUAGUGCUUUGAUAAUCUUUUAUCAAGGCUUCUUGAACUUAUACACCUUUGCCUUCGAUAGUUCAUAUGUGUGUCUAAACAAUUAAGACUAAUUGCCAAACCUCACAAUUCAAAUUAUGGAAAGGGAUACCGUAACCAUAAUCGAAUUCGAGAAUGCAAUUUUACAAUCACUAUCUUCUUAAAAUCUUUCUUAGUGAAAGCAUUUCCUCACAAUCAUUUUCAUGAAGGAGGAAAUCUUAUGACACUUAGAUUUAAACGGUGUAUGUGUUCCUAUCCAUGUGAAUUUGUUAAAACCAAAGUUUACGACAAAUUCAAACUCAUAUGGACCGAACUUUCUUAAUCUUGAUUUCUUGCCUUAUGGUAGCACAGCUGCCCACCAUGUCUUCCAAGUAGUUAAGCAGCUCACCCUUUCCUAUCAAUGUACCUUUCAUUGAUUAAGGUGCUUUGCCUUUUAUGCGUUCAAAAUGAGAACUCAUAGAACUCACAUGCAUAAUUAACUCGAUUGGAUUGGCACAGAAACAAAAUAAUGUCAACACGAUAGGUUGUAAACCUCAACUCGUGUGCUAGUGAUGAUCGAUAAGGUUUAUUUGAUUUGUUCUUGAAACCUUUCAAGACCAUUAAGACUCCCACUGACUCCUUGACAUAUAAGAUUCUCUUGUCAAUAAACAUUUCUUGACAAACAAAUAUUCAAGAGUUAGUGUAGUUUUUAUCAAAACACUUCAUAAAUUGGUCCUAGUUGGUCUUUGUCUUAUCCAAGACAUCACAACUUUCCACAUUUGAUGAAUGUUAUAAACCUUCUUAAUACUUUUCACUCAAUGUCACAAUCUUAACUCUAAGACUUGUUUUGGAACGAAGUAUGAUUGACUUCUUGAUUUAACCAUUUCUUCAAUUCUUGAUUCCUCUUCUUAGACAUACAAUUGUACUAAGACUCACUUAGAGGAUCAAUUGAGAUAUGGUUCUUAAUCAUUAAGACCUAUCAUAAAGCAUAAAAGGUACUCUCCCUUCUUCUUAGAAUGGAGAAACUUUUAUCUUUCUGCCUACUUGAUUCUUCUUAUUCGUUCUGCUAUUGAUUUAAACUUUUUCAAUCAAUUCAGAAUUACACUUAAUCUUAUAAGUAUAAUCAUAUUUACUAAACCUUUAGUAAAUCAUGACGAAUAUCUUUGUUACUCUUAUGGUGGACUUGAUCAACACGCAACUUUGUGUACUCGAUCUCCUAGUCCUUCACUUGACACUUUGUCAAUGAAUUAGUCUAAUUUCCAAAUAUGAAAUUUCUCAUUCAUCGUGCAACCAAGUUGCAUGAUUCCAAGUUUCUGUCCAAUUGAAACUUGGGCGAUGAGAAACUCUCCCUAUUUGGUAAACUCUCGACUUUCCAUAAAUAACAUAAUAAGAACCAAAUCCAUUAUUGCUAAUAAUAGAAACAUUCAAACAUCAAUUUUUCAUAUACGCCAUUGCAAGGAUAAAUAAAUAAUAUAAAAUCAAAAUUUAUUUUAUUGCGGAAAAAAUUUGUCCUUACAAUGCAAUUCAUUGAAAAACUAUGCUAAUACAUCUUUCUUAGCAAUCUAAUUCUAACUCUAAGUAGUAGCUCAAGAAUCUAAUCUUCGAGAAAUGCGAUCGAAAUCCAUUCCUUCACGGUUAGAUUCUGCUCACUUCUUCCCUUAAGCUUCCUUUCUUUUCUUCGAUCCUACAAAACAUCAAUUGUAAUCUUAUCACAUUAUGUAUUAAGAAUCUAGAAUAGAAGCUUAAAAGAGUUAGUUAAUGGAUUUUACCUAUAUUAGAGCCAUACGUUUCGACUCUCCCAUCUCUUAGAUCUCUUAGGUAAAUGGGGCAGCUUCGUCUCCAAUGCCCUUUCUCUUGGCAAUAAAAGCAAAUUGACUCUUUUGGAACAUGACAUGGAACUACUUCAGACAUUGCCUUUCUCUUAUGAUCAAACUUUUCGAUCAUAGCAUGUCUUUCGUUGCCAUUGUCUAUAUCCAUAGAGGUCUUGAAGGCAGAUUCACCAAUCAACUUUGCUUUUCUAUUGCGCCAAACCAUUGCUGAUUCAGCAGCAAUAAGCAUAUAGGUGAGAUCUAUAAGGGUCACGUCGCGGUUCAUCAUAUAGUACUCUCUUACGAACUCACUAUAUGAGUUAGGAAGUGACUGAAGAACCCAAUCAACAGCCAUUUCCUCACAGACAACGGAUCCCAACAUUCUUAACCUAUCAAUGUGUGACUUCAUCCCUAGGACGUGUGCACACACCGACUUUCCUUCUUUAUGUUUACUUGCCAAAAGGGCUUGAGUGAUCUUGAACUUUUCAAGCCUUUGAACUUGUGGGUUAGGGAGAAUAAUUGGAGGAGGAGGAGGAAGUGAAGCAUGAUUUCUUGUUCCUCGAUCGAAUCGUGGAAUAUCAUCUUCAUGUGGAAUGCUUGUUCCACGGGAUUUGGGAAGACCAUAGUUGUCGAACUUUGACAUCUACAAAACGGGAGAAAACGAAUUCAAGUUAGUUGAUUGAUUGAGUCCUUAGUAAAUCACCCAAAUGAGAUACUAAGGCUAGGACCCAACACAAUAUUCUACAACUCGGGAGAGGGAUGCCGUAACCCUAAUUGCAGAAUAUUUGAAGGUAAGUGAAUGACGAUUCACUAAUUUCCACCACGAAAAACGAAAAAGAAAUUUAAGUUUUAAAUCUAUGAAAACUCCUAGAUCCUUUGAGAUUCAUUGAACUUUCAAUGGCAUGUUUAAAUCUCGAUAUGCCCCUCUUGUUUGUGACUGGGAUGCCGAGGAUCACAAAGCGGGUGUGAAUAACCAUGCAAACUUACAUGGUGCCCUCACAUGUUACAGUCACCUAUUCGAUGUGCCGGUAAACCACACACGCUCCACCGAACUAUGACAAACAUUGAGUCACCCUUUGCUACCUUUGCUUAGAACCAUUUAGUGUGCCGGUUAACCACACACGCUCCACUAACGUCUUCGCAAGGGCACAAAGUGUAAUUUCAUGGAAUUGCAUCAAUUCACUUUUGCCUAAGUAACUAAGAUUGGGAAUUUUAUGAAAACAUUUAGUUACUUUAAUAAUUCAUUAUACUUAUAAUGGAAGGUUUCGUCCUAUCCUACCCGUUCGGCUAACGACCCUCCACUAGUCAAGAGUGCGGUGGGUAAGAGUGGAUACCCAUUCAAUCGCCAUUUUAUAGGCAAUUUCCUUAAACACCCCUUAUAGACCAGCUUCGUGAAUGAGGCCUACUAACGGUAAGACUGACUUUUACUCAUACAUAUAUAUAAUGUUAGACUUUUAAUGUUAUAUAUAGUAUAGGGUGUAUUUUAUACUUUUAAAAUACUAGGUGGUCUAAUUUAACAAUUAUACUUUUAAUUCAAUUAAAUUGUAAACCUAAACUUUUAUGGAUUUAUUAAACCUCUUUUAAUUAUACACCUUAAUUAAUUAAUAAAACCAUAAGGGUGUGAUUUGAACUUUUUCAAAACUAUACUAGAGUUUUAGAAUUUAACAUUCCUAAUUAAACUUUUAAUCAACUUUUAAAUUCCAAAACUUGAGGGCAAGUUUUGAAACAUUUCAACACAUUAGGGUUUAGAAUUUAAAUAUGCAUCAAAAUUAAACUAUUUAAUCAAAAUUUAAAUUCCAAAACUUGAGGGCAAGUUUUGAAACCUUUUUCAAAACAUUAGGGUUUCAACUAUUUAAAUUUCAAAACAACAAAACUUUUGGGGUUCAAAUUUAAACUAUAAAACCUAAAGGGCCAAAUAUGAAACUUUUCACAACAACAAGGAUCAAAUAACAAAUAAUUCAAAUUAACAUUUAAUCACAUAAUUAUCCAUAUUUGAUGAUUUCUUGCAAAAUAAUUUAUCAAUUUACUUAAAAUAAUUAAUCAAUUAUCUUAUAAGGAAACAAUUAUCUUAUUAAUUGAUAAAUAUCUUCAAUUAGAUUAAAAUUAUAGUCAAAUAUAUCAUAUAAUCGGAUUAAUAUUAAUCUAACAUGAUAAGGUAAUUAUCCCAAUGCAAAAACAGCAAGAAAUCCCGAGAUAAGCACUGUCUGACGCACCGACUCGCCGAGUCACCCUCUGGAACUCGCCGAGUAGGGCUGACUCGCCGAGUCCAAGAGUGACUCGCCGAGUCAGGUCGAACAGUGAGGCCAAAACACGAUUUUCAGAUAUAUCAAGCAUCAAUACAAUAGAAACCAAUCAAGGCUCUGAUACCACUGAUGGGUUUUGGUCAUAAGACAUCCUAUGUGCUCAUACAAACCCUAAUGCUUGGAUCUAGGUUUCUCUAUUGUACAUACUUUGAAUCCAAGACUAUAAACCCUAAUUCUAGCAUAUGGAAAUCAGAAUUCACAUGUAAAUAGGUUUAAGAACAUACGUUGAUUGUUAUAUAGCAAUAACAAUCCAAUUCCUCCUUGAAUUGCCCUUGGAAAGCUGAGAGCCACAAGUGUCACUCCUCUAAUGGCUUACAAACACCAUAAGCAAGUGGAGAAGGUAUAAAGAGAGAGGAGGGAAGUUAGAAUUCGUUUCUAAGACUUCUUGGGAAGGGAUACCCGAAUUCAUAACCCUAGGGGUGUUUAUAUAGGUGUAGAGAUAGGGUUUCAGUCAUUAUCCUUAUCUAGUUGCUUAUCCACCAAGCAACCAAUAAGAUAAUCCUUGAAUCCUUAUCAUACUCGAAUUCUAAGGGAUUUACACCUCAAAUUCGUUCACCAUAUAUAUAAGAUAAUCCUUACCUUAUUUUGUAACUAUCACAUAAUUACAAUUCAGCCCCUCUAGUUUAAUUAAUUACACUUGAUCACAAAAUUAAUUCUUAAUUAAUUAUUGACCAAUAUUAAUUAAACAAAUAUGAUUUCUCCUUUAAUAUAUUAUUCUUAUAACAUAUUAAUAAAUCAUAAUAACCUCUCUCUCUAUUUAUUUCUCCAAUCAAGUUGCUUUGGUGAAGGCAACCCAAAAGGACCAUGCACCAUCGGGUCAAGUACAUACCAAAAUAGUUAUGGACUUAGACACUAAUCCAACACCAAUGUCUGCCCAUUAUGUUAUGAUUAUGUAUAGUAGGAAGACCCGGGGGUUAGCCCCAGGCACUUAUUGUAUAUGUCCCGGGUUUCGACCUGAUGCCAGGCGAGGCCCGAGGAAGGUUAGAAUGCUAGAGGUGCUUGUGAUUCUUGCAUGAAUAGGUAUGAUUGGUUUAGGACCAAGGGUCCGAUGUCGGGGUAAGCCCGUAGUACGAUAGAUGAUAGUAUGUUUCCGGACCAAGGUUCAAUGUUGGGUGGGUGCCCGAGGAAUUUUUGCAUGAAGGAUUAUACUUGUUGUCUGUGUGAUACUUGUAUGUGCCUGGUAGGGAGGUGAGUGUGGGCGAGGUCCCGCAUCUCACCAUUAGCAGAGUAUGGACGGGGUUCCGUAUCUCAUUAGUAGUGGAGCAGGGGCAAGGCUCGAGUUAAGAGGGAGGUGAGUGUGGGCGGGGGCCUUUAUCUCACUACCAGUAGGAGUGUGGACGGGGUUCCAUGACUCAUCAGUAUCAAAACAGGGGCGAGGCCCAAGUUAGGCGAGGCCUUAAAUCAGGAGUAUAGUAGAGUAUGUUUAGCUUAUUGUUAUGUGUUAUCUUAUAUGUUGUAUAUGCUUAGCGGGCGAGGCCCGGAGACAUGCAUGGCUUAAAAGAAACAAAUAUGUAUACCGAGUGGGGCUCGAUACCAGGUGGGACCUGAUGCCAGGCGGGGGCCCAGUACAUGGUUAUGUGUUCAUGGUUAUGCGUAUCUGGUUUGUGGUAGGUUUGGGAACUCACUAAGCUUUGUGCUUACAGUUUCAACGUCGGUUUCAGGUACUUCCGGUAGCGGAGGGAAGAGCUCGGGGUGAUCGCAUGACACACACACCAAAGAAGUUUUAGCCGGGGAUUGUUUACUCUGAUAAAAUGAACAAGUGUUUUGAAAUGAUACUCUGUUGUGUUGAAUAAUCCUGUAGUGAUGGUUGAAAUGACUUAAUACUUAUGGUUUAUUAAUGUUUUAAUAAGAAAUUUUUGGUCAUGACUUCUGGGAUGUUUCAAGUUGGUAUCAGAGCCUUGGUUUGAGGGAUUCGGGUACACUCUUGGGUGUGUCCGGACUCAAACUGAGGACUUGGUCAAAGCCANNNNNNNNNNNNNNNNNNNNNNNNNNNNNNNNUAUAUAUAUAUAUAUAUAUAUUUAUAUAUAUCCUUUGUGAUCAUGCAACCGCUUUAGCUAAGGCUUACAACCAAGUUUAUAAUGGAAAGUGUAGACACUUAGAUGUUAGAUAUAGUAUGAUUAGAGAACUAAUCAUAAAAUGGUGUGAUUUCGGUAGAGUUUGUGAAAUUGCAACAAAAUUUGGCAGAUCACUUGACUAAAGGUCUGACAAGAGCCUUAGUGCACAAGUUUGUUAUAGGGAUGAGAUUCAAGUCCAUUUAAUUCUAUAAUGGUGAGACACCCAAUUACCUUCUAAUAUGACAUUAGGAGUUGAAUUCAAUGUGAAAAGCUCACACUUAUAGAUUGGAACACAUGAAGUAUACAUCCCUGGUAUGUGUUUGGUUUUACAAGUUGGCCAGCCUGAAGUACAACUUCUUAAUAAUUCCUUUGAUAAAAUGUAUAUGCAUAUACAUGAAAUAAAGGAAUUACCUAUGUGAUUGUGAAGUGUAGCCGCAUUUCAAAAAGUUGGGGACUUGGCCUUGAUACAAUCAUGAGAGAAUUAGGACACACGACUUUAUAAUAGUGUCAAGUUGUAUUUCAUUAGAAUGUUCAAUAAACUAGUAUGUAUUUUACUUUCAUGUAUUUAGUUGGGCUGAAGGGUUCAAUUUUUAGAACACAUUGAUUCUCAAGUAUUUAAAUUGUUUGAUACUAAAAUGGGAAUUUAAUCGUUUCGAUAUUUUCAUUUAUGUAUUGGUUUGGGUUAUUUAGAUAAUUUUAUGUUAGUUAAUGGGUUACACUGAAAUAAGAGAUGAUUGUUGGUGAUUUUAGUGUCACCUGACAUUUUGUGUAAUUGGAACUGCGUGUGAGCCAAGGGGCUUAUCGUUUGUACUCUAUAUUAUAUGUUUGGUGAAUGCGACAUGUACCUAUAAGAUCGAGUUUUAAACAGGCACGACAUAAUUAGUUACAUUAUGAAAAAUCCGAAUUCUAAUAGGUAAUUAUGGUAAAACUGACAAAUCUUGUCAAUUUUGAUAACAAUUGAUUAUGCCAUUAAUUUCGAGAUUUGUAGUAAUUAUGGUAAAAUUAACUAAUCUCGUCAAUUUUGGUAACCAUUAAUUAUGUCAUUAAUCUCGAGAUUUGUAAUAAAUAUGAUAAAAUUGACAAUCUUGUUAAUUUUGGUAACCAUUGAUUAUGUCAUUAAUUUCGAGAUUUAUAUAACUAAUUUAGAGGAUUUACCCUAAUCAGUCAAGGAUAAAUACGACUCAUUUAUUGAGCCUCAGACCCUUCUCAACUUUUCUUCUUCUAUACGAACUCAAAACUCUCUGACGAUUUGGAUUGUGUUUAUGUGUCUAGAUGCACAAGUGUCAUCUUGAAUUAUCUUAGACUCGAUUUCUGUAAGCCAGACAUAGGGUGAAAAUAACGAUCCAAGAGAAAUUCGGUUCUCCACCAUCAUCCUAUUCAAAUAUCCUCCAACAAUCCUUCCUCUGGCUGCUCAAGUCCAACUAGGUUUCUUCAAGAAGCCUUUUAAUCGAUUUCGUUCGGUCUCUCUCCAAAGGUGUUAAUGUUUUAUGUUCUUGAUGUAAGAAGUCAAUGGGUACGACACUAUUAGACGGUUAUGGUUUGAAUGCAUCUUCACUAGUUUUCAUUACAAGGUAAUUCUAAACUUUUCUUAUGGGUUAAUAAAAUUUGUUUUUAAUACGUGAAUAAUGUCAUCAGACUUGAUUAUGGUGCUUAAUCUAUGUUUGCUUCCCCUACCUGUAUUAAUUAUGUUAUUGCAAAUUAACAUAACAACCCAACAAAAAAAGAUUAAGAUUAUAAAAAAAUUUAUACCUUAAAUAGGGGUCCACAACAUGCCCAUUAUAUAUUUUUCUCAACCCAUGAACAUAUUUUCAAUCAAAGAUAUGAUACGACAUUUUUUAUGUGGAAAAAUAAUAUUUUGUUUGUCAAAAAACAUAAUUUUUUACAGAUAAGUGAACAUUUUUUUAUAGGCAUUUAUUUAUAAAAUUUGGGGCUAUUUUGGUUCAUCACCUAUUUUUUUUUAUUACAUAUUGGAUAAUGGUUAAUGAAUUGGUGUGAUUUGUUUUUUUUUUUUUUUUUUUUUUUUUUAUAAAAGAUAAUUACAAAUUAUAUUUUAUUUAACGAAAAAUUUGUCUGUGUUGGAUUUUUAAUAGAGUGUGAAAAGUUGUAUUGGAUUGGAUCCUGUGUAGUUAGUUGGGAUAGAGAGAAAUUAAUUUUGUUUAAUUGAAAAGUUGGGUUGGAUCGGUUUCAUAUCCAAUUAAGUACAGUGGCAAAAUUGUAAUUUGAAAAUCCUCUGCUACUUUCCUGCAGAAGCUGAAGACGUUUUCUGAUUUCCGGCAUCUUCCUCCGCUUCCCUCGUUUUCUAUCGUCGGAGAACCAUUUCCACGCCGUAGAAUCUUCACUCCAGAUGAAAAAAUAAUCGAUGCAUGUACGAUCGUCUAAACCCCUAAUCUGAGAAUUCCAGGUUUGCAUCUCAUCGUCGAAAUUAGAUAUAUAUGCCCUAGCUUUCUGGAUGUUAUCAACCAUCUAACUUUCUAUAAUUUUAAUGGAGCUUGAAUUAGUUCUUCGUUACAUGUAUUUACUGAGUUUCGUGCCUCUUCGAAGGACUUAUACUUCACAUGUGUAAGUCACUUGGUUUUUUCGCUCAUUUCAGUGGUACCUAGUUAAACAUGUUGUAUCAUGUAUGUUAGAUUUCCCGUGUUUAUUUACUGCAUUUUUGGGCUGUGCAUUGUCUCUAACUCUGCAUACAAUAUUGGGGAUUUUAAUCGAUGAGUAUCUCACCAUUCUGUUUACAAAUUCACCGGAUUCUUAAUAAACUAAUAGUUAGAAGCGUAGAGAAAGGUUACCGAUGAUACUUCUACUAUGCUGUAACUUCUUGUUUGGUCGUGCAACUCAUGUACUGGAUUUUGCGUGUAUUUGUUGUUUAUAAUCGUGUUGAUGGAUCUUUGCAUUUGCAGUUGCCACAAUGGCAAAGGAAGAUGGAAAUACAAAGUCAAAGAGGAAAGAUGCAUCUUCUGCUUCACUCUCAGGAUCAGCUGAUGCCUCUGGUUUAAGAAGAUCAGGCAGAGAAACACCAUCAAAGAAACAAGCAACAGCAAGUCCUUCGUCUAAUGCUCGUAGGUCUGAACGAAUUGAGAACCAUGCAACACCAAGUUCUUCUCCAAUCAAGAAGAAACAAGAUAAAAUUGAAGAACAGAUGGGGCCAAGUCCUUUGAGAAGGUCUGAUAGAAGUAAGAAACAAGUUUCACCAGAUUCUUCAGGAUCAAAGAAGUUAACUGAGGUGACUGCUUCACAAAACAUCAAGAAGAAAGAGAUAAUUGCAAGCAGUUCAAAAGAAGAUCAAGAUGCAGAGGAUGUUAGUGUAGAUAACAAAAAUGAAAGACAGGAUCCAGAUGUGGGUGGUAGGAAAAGGAAGAGGAUGACUGUUCAUGGUUAUAAAGCUUUAUUCAAACCUCAGCGUUUAAGAAUUGAAGCAGGUGCAUAAGUUUAUACAUCUUUUUUUUUUUUUAAUGUUUUAUCAUGAUAACUUGUUGUCAUUAGUAGCUGUCCAUAGUUUCUUUCUUUAGAUGACAAUUUGAUUACUAAUAUUUCUCUUUAUACAAUCUCCCAAAUUUACAAAGACCCAAAACUUGUUUUGAUCUAUCUUUUAAUAGUAAUUACACUCUAAUGACAAAUGGACCACACCCUUAAUUUACUAUAGGGCUUUCGGUAUGUAAGUUUUUUCAUGAGAGCAGUCUCAUUUUAUAGGUAACCUUCUUAGUUUAUGUUUCUUCUGUAUGCUUAUGAGAUUCUGAAUGAAUUGGUCUGACACUUUUUUCUUUAUUGGCACACAGAAGAUGGCCAUGAUUCAGAUGUGCAACACACACCAGCUGAAAGUGGUAGGACUACUGAAAGUGGGAAUGGGGAAAAACAAAUUGGUGGCAAAUGCUCACAAGAUGAUAAUACUACUGAAAGUGGGAAUGGGGAAAAACAAAUUGGUGGCAAAUGCUCACAAGAUGAUAAUGGAAAAAUGUCGACACAAUAUAUUGAUGUUGAUGCUUGUGAAGAUAAUGAUAACCAAAUCUCCCCCAAAUCACCAUCAUCAGGGUGCAAGAAGCAUGGUGAUGAUGAAACUUCCCUUGCAUGCUCAAAAGAGCAAAGGUAUGAGUACUUAUCACAUUCGCCCCUUUCCUUUUUGGGUUAGAGUAUGUGCUGAAUUCAUGUAUUCUAUUAGAUUCUUUUUCACGUAUGAAACCGAGUGUUUAACAUCUGCGCAUUAGUUAUCUGGUCAUUCCAUUGAGGUCUUGGAAAUUCAUAGAGCUAUCCUGUAUACUGCUGAUUAGCAGUAUUGUUUUUAUUCCUUUUUUCAAUAUAGAGAUUACGGAAUACGAGUCUAUUAUGCCUACAUUAGCUAGUGAAGGGUAAUUUUGGUAUUUUAUAGCUAGUGAAUGGGGAUUGAGUUGGGCAUGCUUACUCUUGUCCCCUCAUUACUUUCAGCUUAUAUUGCUAUUAUCUGCUUUCUACUUUAUUUUGCAAGUAUUUGCUUGGGAAACCAAAAGCCAUAUUCAAUGCUUUUAGUAAAAGUUUAAGCUUUAUAGCUUUUAGGUUGUUUUAAUUUUUUAGGAAGUUGAAGAGUCUAGUAUUUAUUGUACUUUAAGUGGCUUUACUAUUUAGGAAGUUGAAAAGUCUAGUCUUUAUGACUUUUAAAAUCUUUUUAUUUCAGGUUAGUUGAAGAGUCUAAUCUUAAUGGAUUUCCUAAUUGUUAAGUCAUUUAUCUUUUACCUACCUAUUAAAGGAGAGAGAGACCAUGUAAUGACAAAAAACAUGAAAAUUUGAAUUUAGAAAUCUAGUCAGUUUCCUUAUCACUCUUUAAUCCUGAUUCUAGGCCAAAAGAUUUUUACAUCAUUCAUGGUGACUUUAUAUUUAUAUAAUUGGUUGGUGAUCUUCAAUUCUUUUCCUUCUCCAAUCCUUUCUUUCCUUCAAAUUCAUUCCAUAAAUGAUUAAUGAUAAAACUAAAUACAUUCAACAAAGUGAUGUUAGUUACUCUUUAUGAUGCAGGAUCAACAAUGAUUCAAAGAAUCAACAGGAACUUGAGUCUCAUGACAAGACAUGUGAGAAAGAUUUACAAGGGACAUCUACUUCCAAGGUGAGUGAAUACUACAAUCCAUGUUGUUUUCAUGUAUUGUCUGUAAAUGUAAAGCCACCCUUGGAACAUUAUUUGGAAAUUUGUUAUGUUAAUGUUUGUACUAGGUUAGAAAGACAUGCCAAGAAGGUGGUGUUAUGGAGGAUACAGAACACAAUAAUGCAAAGUUUGUAGAAUUUUGGGUUCCUGUUCAGAUAUCAAACUUGCAGCUUGAACAGUAUUGCUCUACUCUACUUUCUGAUGGAAUGGCUCUUCGUUCAGGCUCAAAAACUGAUAGUGUUGAGGCUCUUCAUAACAUUCUUAAAUCCAACCGCAAGGUAUUCUUUUCUUUCAUUAAUUCAAUAUUUUUAUUUCUCUCAUUUACAGAUUAGCAUCAUUAUGCCUUUUAUCUGAUAUGAUAUAGUUUAAGACUUAUGAACUUUAUAGAAAACAAUUUGGAAUAAUGAUUUCACCAUCUUCCUGCUCAUUUAAGAUUGUGACACUUGUCAUAUUUAAUAGAAUUAAUAAUUUUUUAUUACACUUAUCAUCAUCUGAAAAUGGUAGGAGGAAAAAGUAGGAGAUAUUUUAUUUCUCUAUAAGUAUAUAAUUGAUGUCAUUCUACUUGAACCAUAUUCAUUUAAAACUGCCAUAACUUUUCAACUUAUCUUUUAACUACUACAUUAAACUCCUUUAUUAUUCUAAAUUUAUAUGCCAACUCUUGAAUUUUCACCCUAAUAUACAUAGUUUAUUUAUUUAAAUUGUGUGUAAAACAGUAUAUUUUUAAUGUUACCACUUUAUAAUAUUUAUCUAACAUACUUAAUUUGUUAGUUUAAAUAUGGUGUUAAAUUUAAAACAUAAAUCAAAAUUUUAAAUAAAGUUGAAAAUAAUUGUCCAAAGUCUUUUUUUUUUUUAAAUAGUUAGUUUUUUUAAUAUAAUGUUAAAUGUAAAACCUAAAUCAAAAUGCCAAAUUCACAAAAUUAGACCCAAAACUAUAUUUUUUUAUAAUGAAAAUUUACAGUGAAUUAGUUUUUAAAUUAAUUAAAAGUUUUUAGUAUUUAUACAUAACAUAAAUUAAAAAUUAUAUUAAGUUACCUACUAACCUUGAAAACAAUAACCGAUACCAAUUUUUUAUUUUCAUUUAUAAUAAGGAAAAUUUACAAAGAAUUAGUUUGUAAUUAAUCAAAAAUAAUAAUAGUUGUAAGUAAAAAAAAUUAAAAAACAUAAGUUACCUUGAAAAUAAUAAUCAUGAUCAAGAUAAAAAAAGACCAAAUAAAUUGUUUUUAAAUUAUAUAACAUUACAAUAGUUUAGUAUCUAUCUUUUAGUUAACCCAUAUGAGAAUUUUUCUAUCUAGAUAUUGUGUGUGCCAACUGCUAAUGAAUAAAGUUUUAAAAGUCUUUUGAUUAUCAGAUGUAUAUAUUUACUAUUUAAUGAAUCUUAUUUUUCAUGUUGAAGUGUUGUAAUCACCCAUACACAGCAGAUAAAGAUCUUCAAAAAUCCAUCACAAAGGAUCAACCAACUAUGAUUUAUGACAUUGGUCUUAAAGCAAGUGGCAAACUUCACUUUCUUGACCUAAUUCUCCCCGAGGUCAAAAAACGCCAACUAAGAGUUGUCAUCCUUUUUCAGGUACAAAUUAAAUAAUUUCACUUAUUAUUAUUAUUAUUAUUAUUUAAAAAAAAUAUAUAUUGACAUUUACAUUUUCUUCCAACAAACAAACAGCCUACAGUUCCUGAAAGAGUUACCACCGAAAGCAAUACUCCUCCUGUUACACUUGGCGACAUUUUGGACGAUUUUGUCCAUCAAAGAUUUGGUGAAGACUCUUACGAACGUGUGGACGGGGCCCGCAUGGCUCAAAAAUCAAAACAGGCAGCUUUUAACAGCUUCAACAAUAAUCCAAAUAAAUUCAUCUUUUUACUAGAACGCUCCAGUCAACCAAGCAUCAAAUUAUCAUCAGUUGACAUUGUAAUCAUAUUCGAUAGUGAUCUCAAUCCAGCAAACGAUAUUCGAAAAUUAUCAAUCGAUUCGGAUUCACAACAAAAACAGAUAAUGAUUUUUCGUUUGUAUUCCAAGAACACACUUGAAGAAAAGAUUUUAAAACUCGCUCAACAGAAUGUUGCUGUUGAUAGUAAGCGAAGUAGGUUGACUUGUGAUGCUUUGUUAAUGUGGGGAGCCAAAGAUUUGUUUCAAAACUUGGAGAAGUUUCAUGGAGAAUCUGGAAAGGAUAUUUCAUCUCAAGGAAACUUGUUGAAGGAUGUAAUGGAGGAGUUUUUGUAUAUACUUUCCAACAAAGGUAAAAAUAAGGAUGGAGAAAAGUCAAUCAUCACCAAAGUUCAAACCUGUGGGUAUUAUGGGAAUAGAAAUAUGCCCUGUGGUGAGAUUAAAAAUCAGUUGCCUGAUGGAGAACAGCCGCAUGUUUUUUGGAGAAAUUUAUUGGAAGGAAAAUACCCUCAAUGGAAAUUUGUACAUGUGUCAACUUCAAGACAAAGGAAAAGAACACAUUAUUAUGGUGAAUCAUCGGACACAAUUGCCCCUGUUGCUGAUGCUGUAAAGAAGCGGAAGAAGUCUCCUGCUUCAAGGCCUGUAGAAUGGGGGACUGGAGGGGCAUAUGAAGGUAAAUUAACAAUUUUUUUUUUAAAAAAAAAAAAUUUAUGUGCAUUGAUUUUUAUCGUAAGUAAAUAAUUCAGAUCUUGUUUCAGGUGGCAAUAACGAGUCUCAAUCAUCUCCUGAGCUUCUACAUCCCAAUGUGCAUGAGCUUUGUAAAAUCCUAAAGUUUCCGGUAUGUUACUUUUUCACAAUAAUGCAAAUGUAACAUUUUUAAUUAUAUUUUCUUGGCUUAAAAAAAUAAAAAUACAGGAGGAUGUCAAGAACAAAGUGGAUGGAUUUCUUGAUUUUGUUCUCAAGAAUUAUAAUGUCAGUAGGGAGGAUAAAACUACUCUACAGGCAUUCAUGAUAUCAUUGGUAUGAACUUUUUUUUUUAAAUCCCUAAUUUUUCACAUUAUUAAUGUAUUUAAUUUUAAUCAUGUCGUUCAUCAUUUCAGUGUUGGAUUGGGGCUUCUCUUGCAAAACAUAAAAUUGAUAGAAAGGAGUCUUUUGACCUUGCAAAAAAGCAAUUGAAUUUUGAUUGUAAGGAAGAACAGGUGAAUUCUGUUCACUUGAAGCUUGAAGAAGCUAAAGAGGAUUUCUUAAACCAAACAGAAACACAAGAGAAACAUGUUGAAAUAAAAGAUUUGAAAUCGCCACCUCAAGCCAUCUGCACAGAGUCAAAGUCAACCAACCAGAAAAUGUCAACUGAAAGUCAACAGAAUCAAAAUGUUGAGGUAUCAGUUGCAGAAAAUUUAGAAUCUACGGAAAAGCUAAGUGAAGAGAUGGAGGAGUUUAAUAGGGAAUGGAAUGACAGAAGGGCAUGUUUGGAAAAUGAGUACAAAGUGGAGAAAGCUAUUAUUCGUACUGUGCAUAAGAACCCUUCCAAAAGAACAGAGAAGUUAAGAUUAUUAGACAAAGAAUUUGCGAAAAAAAUUGAAGAACAUGAAAGAGAUAAAGAUAUUCACCUCAAAGAGCUCAAGGCAACACUCCUGGCUGAUGACGUGGAUGCUGAUGUGGCAGCUAAACCUGAAACUUCAGUUUCUGUUGGGAAUCCGGGUGAUAAAAUGACUGAAACGCCCUUGGAAUUGGAUGGCGGUAGGGUUCAGGAUCAGUCCAAAGAAAGGGGUAGUUUGGGCAUAGGUGAUGACAUCGAGUCAACAGGUUCGCAUACCUCGGAAAAACAAAUGGUUGAUGCAACGGUGUUGUCGUCAAGUGUAGUAGAAGCAGAAGUAGAAGUUGAAGUAGAAGUAGAAGUAGAAGUUCCGCCAUGUCAGCAUGAGACUGUUGAUGACGUGGCGGGGGUAGUAAUUGAAGAAAUUCCAGCUCAGGAAGGUGAUGGAAUUGUCAAUGAUGUUGAAUCUGUGGAAGCUGAUGUGAACCAAGAGAAUAAUAGUAAAGGAGAGGGUAAUGGCGCUGAGGUGGCAGAUCGUGUUGAUGACACUGGUGAAACGGGAGUGCCAGGUGGCGAUGAAAUCAGAGAACAUGAUGAAGCACAUGCUGUUGAAGAGCAAGAGCAGAAUGAUUCAUGUGGUUCCAGUAGCAGCAAUCAACCGUCUGCAGGUGUACCACAUGACGAUACACCCUCAGUUCAGUUGGUUGCUUCUCAACCUCCAGAUCCUCCAAUGCCAACAGUUUUGGUAAGUUAAUCACAUGAUCAAGUCUUUCAAAUUCAACUUUAGACAGAAGGGUAAAAUGGUCACUUAAAAAAAAAAAACUUUGUUUGGUUUUGUCAGGAAACUGAAAACGAGUCUGUUUUAGAACAACUAUUAGACCUUGGAGUUCAAGAGAAAGAAGCACAAGGUGAUCCUAAUUCAGAAGAGCAGCCUCAUGAUGAUCCAAUGGCUGAGAAUCAAACCGAUACGCAGCCAGCCAAUGAAACCACUUGUGAAAAUGACGUAAACGCCCCUGAUACAGUAAACAACCAACAAACUGGGCAACAAGAAGAACAAGUUUCUACACAGAAUUCAAACCCACCAGAAAUCACAAAUCAGAACACAUCACAGGCACAGCCUGUAACAAACCUGUUUGAUCUUCCUAACCAAGUGGCAGUGGCUCCACGGAUACCAAAUCAUGGUGAUCCACUUCAAGCUGAACUGGAGCGGUUAUUUGCCCAUAGAGAUAAUGUUACAAAGUUUUAUGAAGAUACGGUUAGUCUCUAAUUUUAAUUUAUAAUAUAUUUUAUUUUUUUGGUAUUUCAUGUUUUUGGGUGUGUAUACAUACAGAAACAAAGGAUGAAAUCUGAAUGUGAGAAGGAAAUAGCAGACAUGAUUGCUCAAAUAAAUCUAAAAUAUGAAGCAAAGUUUAAAGGAGCAGAAGAAGCUUUUCAGUUAAGAAAGAAGGAACUUGAUACAACGGUUAACAGAGUUAUGAUGAAUAGAAUUUUAGCCGAGGCUUUUAGGGCCAAGUGUCAAGAUCACAAUCAUUCUGGGCCAGGAAUGCAGAAAGGUAUGCCUAUGCCCUCAUAAUUAUAUAAUUUCUUUUUUCUUCCAUAUUUACCCUUUUGUUUUUUUUUUUUCUUUCCAGUCUCUCAACCUGGAUUAAUGCAACAACUCCAUAGAUUCUCAGUAAGACCUUCCGUUUCCGUUGGUGUUGUUUCAUCUUCACCUGGCCAAUCAUCUGGACGACAGCAGACACCACCGCCACCGCCAUCAUCAUCACCGCCGCCGCCUCCACCACCGCCACCGCCANCCGGCGGCUCUUUUCUCCAACACAGUAAUCAGACCGCCACCACCUACCAUCAACCCAGUCACCCCGGUUAGCAGACCACCACCUAACAUCAACCCAAACACUAGACCGCCGCCUACAAUCACCCCAGUCACCCCCACCACCGCCACCAGACCACCACCCAACAUCACCCCGGUCACCCCGUCAGCCGGAAGUCUACGUGGCCCGGCCCCACAUCUUCGUCCUUUAGUAAACAGUGAUAUUCGCUCCCCGGCCCCACAUAUUCGACCUUUGGUAAACAGUGAUAUCCGAGCCCCGGCCCCACAUCUUCGACCUUAUAAACCUUCCACGUCAGCAUCUCCUGAAUUGACACCCUAUCGGAGGAUGGUCCCGGUGCCAGUGCCAGGUCAGCAUGUCACAACCCCCCCAAAUACCCAACCGCCACUACCUCCGGAAGCUUUUCAUGUUCCACCACCACCACCACCAAGUGGAGGAGGGGCUCAGUAUAACUUAGUGGACCUAACUGAUAUCUUCCACGAGGAUAAUGAAAAUGCACCACCACAACCACCACCACCACCACCACGAAGUGGAGGAGGAGUGGGUCUUGAGUUGGUUUGCUUGUCGGAUGAUGACUAGACUAACUAUAUUUAUAUAUAUCUUUUGUAAAGAAUGUGCGUAUAGUUGUAAUGGGCAAUGGCCAAUUCUAUUCUAGAGGAGUUCAAAUCAAAUGUUGUAAUUUUUUUUUGAAAUUUUGUUUUGGCCCCUUGCUUGAGCUUGUUAACCACGGGUUCUUUGUAGACUUUCAUGGUUUUCUAGUUAUUGGACGUUGAUAUUUGAGAGGAAAACUAUGAUCACCUUU
This 73662-nucleotide long non-coding RNA is filed under the name Lactuca sativa (garden lettuce). RNAcentral describes it as "long non-coding RNA (LSAT_LNC000325)". The record is from RNAcentral. Lineage: Eukaryota; Viridiplantae; Streptophyta; Magnoliopsida; Asterales; Asteraceae.